GCUCCUGCUGCAGUUGCUAGAUCCAUCAUCGGUCAUGCAUGCACCGCGUGCAUCAUAUCUUUGAUCGAUCCAUCCAUCUACUUACCAUGUAACGCUACCUGAUCGAGGGUCUUUGUAUGUAUGUACGCACCUGCCUGCAUGAGCAGAGCAGGUGCCAUGCCAUGCAUGUAAACCCCUAAAUAAAAUCUCCCGUGGUUUAACCUAUAUAAAUGCGUUUGUGUUAUAGACCAGCUUCUGGCCCACGUUUACUAUCAACUUGCAAGGUGCCUGGGUUGUUAAUAGACCAGCUGAAUGAGCUUCAGGUGCUACAUUCGUGAAAAGGACUCGUGGUUUAUAACGCAUAUUGUAGCCUACUAGCCACAUAUCAGCUGCGCUCAAUAUGCAGGAUUUCCAUUGGAUCAGAUCUUUCGCUUUGACGAAUUUGGACCUAGCGAAAAGGAUUCUUAAGCCUUCGCGCAAACAAGCAAAGUAGAAGCAAGACGAGGAAGUGGAGCUGUCGUAGAAGCAGUAGCUUCCCCCGACAAUAUACAAUACAACAGUAGCGACCAUGAAUAAAAAAGCCCCUUGUUUAACGAGUUCGCUGCUUUUCCCAGGCCGGAGAAGGGCAACUACUUAUUGAUUGAUCGCCUUUCUUUGAUAUGUGUUCAAUUUAGUAUAAUACAAACUACAACUAGAUCAAUGCGGAAGGGCCACUCACUAUAGAAGCUAUAACUAGAAAAGCCCUAGCCAAUAGUUUAGUAGUCGGCCAAACCCCCAUGCUCACGACAUGUUCUUGAUAUUGAUUGAGUUGGAGAGAGUCAGAGACUACCACGGAAUCCUUCCAUAGUCACCCCGGUGACCUUCGUCACCAAAGCGUCACAACAGUUUCCAAGACCCCUCAUAUAAUCUCCAGUGGGGAUCAGUCGGAGCACAUAAGAAUGCCGACCACUACAUAAGCCGCUGGCGGAGAAAGCUCGAAGAGCUUCCCUUCAUUCGCUUCGCGGGAGUCGCACACAGCACAUAGCUGGAAGUCAGAGGGCCCGUACUACCUGCCUAACCCUUCGCUCUGAGGGACCGUAGAACGGAAAGCGCCUUCUAAACAACUCGGCAGAAGGGAAGGGGCCUAUGUAUUUGCAUGACCCCUGCGGAUUUGACCCUACCUACACCCGGAGCCAACCCCCUAGCGGUCCUGCCACCACGCCGCAGAACAGGAGCUCGUGUGGAACCUUGGAUUUCUGGCAUAACAGUGAUGGAAGGUAUCAAAAUAUUACGGCUGCAUAACCAUAACAUAGUAUAUACGCUAAGGUCGGCCAAAAUAUGGACACCCGAAGGGCCCGGCGCGCACAAUCCUAUCCUAUCCGAGCCCGUCAUUGCAUGCACUUCGGACAGCCGUCCGUAGCAUCAUAAGGAGCACCUCCCUUUCGAGGUACCCAAAUGGAACGGUCUUUAUUUGUGUUGUUGGUUGAUCUUUCUCAACGUGGUCUAUAGCACGAAUAACCAUUCUUUACAAGAUAGGGCCGUUCACAUGAAAGAAAAUACAAAAUCCAUUCUUCAUGGUCAGACGCAUUUCUCCAAAUCCUCCAGGAUCACAAGUGGAACGCUAAGCAAGGGUGGGGAGGCUGCGAGCUCUGCGUCGAACAGAAAGAACCAAGCAGGGGGUGUUGCCGUAGCGCGACGGAGAGCAAGCGUAGGCAACCAAACUAAAUAAGGCUACAAAAGUAGCUAGCUAGCGUUUUUAAGCUAGCUGCCUUUUCUAGCGCGCGUACUCUUCUGUGGAGUCGCAAGGAACGAGCCUUGUCUUCCCUCCAACGACUAGCUCCCUUUUCUUAUUUCGGUCACCCUUCUCUUGUCGUGGAAGGACUUUUGCUUGUGGUGUGGUCCAACCCGUGGACGGAGUCGUCCUCAUCCCCCCAUUGCUCAGUGCUCCCUGCAGCUUCGCUGGGCUUUACCCGCGUGGGCGCGGGCUUCUAUAAGAGAAUGAAAAGCUCUCUUUUUACAAUAAAAUGCGAACCACACGGAGCCCACCCUUUUUCGUUUUUUGCCGCCACUGGGUGGCCACAGGGGAAACACAUCCCGGCCGCCUCUCGGGAAAGGGGGGUGGGCCUACCUAUCCCGAGGGAGCAGCUGAGAGGUUCAAUAUGCCGAGCCGAAGGGCAGAACUUCAAUGUGUGAUCAUAGUAUGUCACCUCGUCUCGUCCUCGCAGCAUCGAAGAGUACCUAUGCACUAUGUUCGGUUCACUGAUAAGGAAGAUAGAGUUGGGGUGGGGGUCUACGAUGUGAUUCUAUAGUAUGCCCCGGGGAGAAAGAUGCACAACUCAAAACGGAAGCAGGAAGCGUGUUGUCAAAAAUGUUGGAGGUUACCGGAUCUCCGAGACUACUAUCGAUCCGACAGAGCGGAACGACCAGAAAAAGAAGUGGAGUUAGAAAGCCGUAUGAUAGGUGGUAACUAUCUUGUACGGUUCGGGGGGUAAGCGGCGUACUCUGGGGGAAUAUUAGGCUCUAUCGACCAUACAGGGAAUUGGAGGUAGCAUUUUACUUAUGUUAAGUCAUGGACUGGUUUCUUCAGCCCUUUUUCUAUGUGUUGGUGUUCUAUAUGACCGACAUAAACUCGACUUGUGAGAUAUUAUGGAGGUUUAGUGAGCACCAUGCGGAAUUUCUCUACCAUUUUCUUAUUUUUCACUUUAGCCAAUAUGAGUUUACCUGGCACUAGCAGCUUUAUCGGGGAAUUUCUAAUCUUAGUAGGAGCUUUCCAAAGAAAUGGCUUAGUAGCCACAUUAGCUGCGCUUGGGAUGAUUUUAGGCGCAACAUAUUCCCUUUGGCUAUAUAAUCGUGUGGUUUCUAGAAAUUUAAAACCCGAUUUCCUCUAUAAAUUCUCCGAUCUAAUUGGUAGAGAAGUUUCCAUAUUUCUACCUUUUCUUGUUGGAGGGGCGACCGUCCGUUGAACUACCAAAAAAUGGUAAACCAAUGUGAUCAUGACAUUGUAGGUGCUUGCGAUGGGACGGAUGUGACUUCCCUCAUAAGUAAUGGGUGGCAUAGCUCGUAGCAGAAGUCCCCUUUUUUAUCCAUUUCUUUAUUACCCCAGAGGGGCCAAGCCUUGCGGGACCGAGAGAAAGAAAGGACGGGGGGCGACCAUGCAUGGCACUUCUCGACCGUGUCUCCGAGGAACAGUUGAACGAGCGACUCAUGAAUGCUACCGGGUCGGACGAGCCAAUAACUCGAACGUGUUCGGUCAUUUUUUUGAGAAAGAAUCACAGUGUUACCUUACCUUCACCAUGAUACGGACUCCAAGUUCUUAUGGCAGAGCACGAGGAGUUUCCUUCAAUAUGAUGAUGAGAGUGGAAACCAGAAGCACGACUGGGUCUUCGUAGUCCGAGAUCAUACUUAUAUAUCAGUCACAGUAAUGUAAGCAUGAGAAUUUUUGGUAGUACCGGUGAACCAGAUGGCCACAGCGAGGGAAUCUGGGACGGAGGACUCGUAAUAUCUCUAUAGAUCUGGCAAAAGCGAAAGACCCUAACAUCAGGGGCUGACCAAUGAGCUCACUCAGGCCCCGCUGGGCGGUCCAGAGUGGGUGCGAGCUGGAAUUGCCAUAGCUUAUGGUUAGAGCAAUAGGAAAGGGCCCGGCAGAGAGAACAGUCAGGAUAACGAGCGUGGAGCCCACUUGGCAGGCGGCAGGAGCAGCGGGCAAGUGCUUGCUUGGUAGGCCAACAGCCCUGUGAACCGGGCGGGGCACUCGACGAAAGGGGGGCAUGCUGAGCAAGUACGCAAAAUUGGCCCUGUGGAGCUUUCAAAAAGAAAAGCAAGGACCACUACGGGAGGUCGAACCACGGACCGGAGGUAGUAGAACGUAAUCCGCACCGGUCAAUAUUGGAUCAAACAAUAGGGGACCGUAGCACUGACCUUUUUUUCAAGACAAUAGGUAUUGUUCCCUACCAACACAAGGGACACUCUCGACGGAUCCUCCACGCGCUGGGCAUACCAUAGUUCUUCCGUUCGUCUUUAUCAUGGCGGAAACAGAACAAGAGGGAAAGACCCGGCCGACUCACCAAGGGCUCGAGGGCGAGCCAUACGAGAGUGAGUCGAAUUCUGUUUACGUACUCGGUUUGGGUUCGGUCCCCUCUCGAUCUUUUGUGUAUAAGGGAAGGGGGAAGGAGUCUAAAUCUAUGGACAUUAAUGAACCACCAUUGAUGGACGUUGCACAUGACACAAGAAAUUUGACUCGACGAUCCGGUGCUAAUAGAAGUCGCUUACUCUCCGCCUAGCGAAGGUGCCAGAUCCUUAAAGUAAAGUAUCUAUCAGCCUAGUGUACCAACCACGUGGUAUGACGGGCACUCAAAGACCUGACGAAUGAGGGGCCACCCCACCUAAGAGCGCUUAUGUCAUAUGGGAACUCUCGGCUGGAAACAAUCCUUAUGGUUUUUAUAUCCGGUUAGAAUAAUAAGAAAGAAUCAAAGUCCAUGUUGGUUGGUGAGCCUAGUGAUAGGACACUAUCUAGCUUGGUUCGGAGAGCACUUGUUGGGUUUCAGAUUCGUUUUUUGCUAAAUGUUACGGCCCAAAUGCUGAACUAUUGACCCUACUUGUUCGGAUGGGUGUUCACCCCAAAGUGUUCCCGGACUGCAUGCAUACAUCCUUAAGUAACUUAGUGCAACAUGGCAAAUUUCAUUGAGAAGAAUCAGCAAACAAAAUAAAUCUUCUCCGGGUGACAGGGCCGCUUCGUUAAUAGAUCAUGCAUAUUGUCGAGUUUUGUGUUUUAUAGCGCAAGAUUUUGUUUUUACAAAAGGUGGAUCCCAACAAGACACGAUGGUAUGCGUAUCUUGUAGUCUAUCUGUCUUCUUGAGAAAAUACAUUAAUGUCUCAUGGUGUAGUAGGUUAUCACGUCAGUCUAACACACUACAUGGCGAAGCCAAAUUGUUAUUGUUUUUUUUCCUGCAAAACUACAAAAUGCACCAAUAAAUCUUUGUCAUUUGCUAGUUUCCCAUUCUCGCGACUCUUAAUAUGAAGCCCAUGAAGACAUUAAAGAUAGCGGUGGACAGCUAAGGGCCUAAGGCCCAAGGGCGACUUAGUGCCCGUAGGUAUAAACCGCCAUAUAUGUAAAACGUGUAUUGUAAGGCAUGUAAAGAUAGUCACUGAGUCGGACACGUUGUCUAUGAGCCAUCCGGGACUCUAUGAUCCGCUGGGCGUCGACCUGUCUAUAUAAAGGGACGACCCGGCGGCGGUUCAGGACAAGAAACAAGAGAUCGAAAGCUAGGUCAAGCAGAUUUGCUCCCUGAUAAUCGAGACAUAAGCAAUGCCACCCAAAAACUGGAUUGUAGGCUUUUACCUUCACCAUAAGGGGCCGAACCAGUAUAAACCCUGUGUCCUUUGUCCCAUUUAACCCCUUUAAGCUAACCUAGAGGCGAUGGCUCCACGACUAAGUCCUUUCACGAGGACAUUUGUCGUGACUAUUCCACGACAGCUCUCCUCCCGAUGAGCACGUGCAGGGGUCUGAUUGCAUGCCUCCCGUAAUCAAAUAGCUACCCCACAUGGCACCUCCUAGCCAAUAAAAAAAGGGACGCGUGGUGGCACGUCAUUGGUAAGUAGAACGCCCACGGUUUCAAUAAUAGUUGUGUUUCCGAUUUGUAACGUGACAACACUUGUUCCAAAAUGACUUUGUUGAUUUUUAAUGUGUGCGUCUUCGCAAAUCGGACAGAAAAAUUACCACAGCAUGUUGGUGCCAUGUCAUGACACCAUGCCAAGUUUCAUGAUUUUCAGGCAUGUUUUGGACACCAUGCCAAGUUUCAUGAUUUUCAGACGUGAUUUUCAUGCAUGUUUUGGACACCAUGCCAAGUUUCAUGAUUUACCGCAGAAUGUUGGUGUCAUCAUGACACCAUGCCAAGUUCCAUUAGUGCCGGUUCCAACGGCUAGCCGGGAGGAGCUCUUUAGUACCGGUUCGUGGCAAACCUUUAGCACCGGUUCGUGCCACGAACCGGUACUAAUGAGAGUGGUGGCAGGAUCAUGUCAGAGUGGGGCCCUUCCAGCACCUUUAGUAUCGGUUCGUGGCACGAACCGGUACUAAAGGUCGUCCUAUAUAAACCCUUCGUCCACCCGCACUCUGUUCUUCCCCCUUUCCCCUCUCCCUCUCCUCUAUUCUUCCCUUCUUCCUCUCGAGUUCAUCACAAAAUUUGCCCCAAAUUUGUCAAGAUUUGCAGGCCCUCAUCCAUUCAAAUGAUCACCAAGGUUAGCAACUUUGUCCUUUCAUCUCUCAUUGCUAGAUUAGCUCUUGCAUUGGUUUAUAUAGUGAUUAAUUGUGGGUUUUAGUAAUUUGGGAGGAAUAAUAUGUGGUAGUAUUUGAUUUAUAUGCAAUUUGAGUUCAAAAUAACACUUAGUUUGCAUAUGUAGGUGUGGUUUACUUAGUGCCUUCUAAAUCUCCGUCGUAACCACCGUCGAUCGCCCACACCAUCCCGUCGCCGGCACCACCUUGUGGUGAGCCUCUUGUUCAUGAAAUUUUAUAUAAAAAAUUGAUGUUUGUGUGAUUUGGAUAUAUAGUUACUCGUAUAAUAAUUAUCUUGCAUGUACGUUGUCUGUUAUACAUAGUGCCAUGGUUUUGAUAUCCGUCCCCGUCGGCCCUCGUCCUUGUUAUGAUUCGGAUGUGUUAUAUUCUCUUUUAAAACUAUUUGUUGCAUUUCGUGUUUAUGACAAAUUAUGCCCAUCAAGUUGACAUAGAUAUUUUUAUCUAGGAGGUAUGUGAACCGGAAAUUCCAACCGACCCUAUUGUCUAGAGGUUAAAUUUAGUUGGAAGAGAAAACGAGUACUUGAAAGAAAAUUUGAAAAGAAUUGAGGGAGAGAAGAUGGAAUUAGAGUUGCAUGUUGCCGAUGUCGUCGAUGAUCACAAGAUCAAGAUGGAGAAAAUGCGCUUGAAGAUUAGAAAGAUUAGAAAAUAUGCCAUCGAUAGUGAGGCUUGGUAUCAUUAUGCUGUUGGAUCAAUUGUUACCUUAGUUGCGAUCUUGAUCGCAUUUGUUGUUGCAUUUAAAUGCUUUAGCUGGAGAGUUAUUUGUUUGUUGCAUUUAAGUGUUGUAUGAACUUGUAUUAAUUUGGUCUAUUCGGUGUUGUGUAAUGAAGAUGAGCCGGCAAUGGAUGUACGAUGACCGAUGCUCUCCCCAGUUCAUUGAGGGCGUGCAUACUUUUCUGCUUGUGGCUGAGGCAAACAAGCGGGCGGAUGGUUUUAUGCCUUGUCCAUGUGCUGGCUGUAAGAAUGGUCGCAAUUACUCUACGUCAAGAACCAUUCACGUCCACCUGUUUGAGUCCGGUUUCAUGCCCCACUAUAAUGUUUGGACCAAGCAUGGAGAAAGAGGGGUCAUGAUGGAAGACAAUGAAGAAGAAGAGGACGACGACAGCUAUCCUGGCCAUGGGUUCCCUGAAUACGAUGAUACAACAAUGGGGGAAGAAGCUGAGCCGGUAAUGCGGGAAGAAGCUGAGCCGGCAAUGCGGGAAGAAGCUGAAGAAGAGGCAUCAGAUGAGCCCGUUGAUGAUCUAGGUCGGGCCAUUGCCGAUGCAAAGAGAAACUGCGCAAGUGAUUUGGAGAAGAAGAAGUUGCAGCGCAUGUUAGAGGAUCACAAAAAAUUGUUGUACCCGAAUUGCGUAGGUGACAAGAAAAAGCUGGGCACCACACUGGAAUUGCUGCAAUGGAAGGCAGAGAAUGGUGUAUCUGACAAGGGAUUUGGAAAGUUGCUGGUAAUGAUAAAGGAUAUGCUUCCAAAGGACAACGAAUUGUCCGAGAGUACAUACGAAGCAAAGAAGGCUGCCUGCCCUCUAGGGUUAGAGGUGCAGAAGAUACAUGCAUGCCCUAAUGAUUGCAUCCUCUACCACGGUGAGCACGAGGAUUUGAACGCUUGCCCGGUAUGUGGUGCAUUGCGCUAUAAGAUCAGCCGCGAUGAGCAUGGUGAUGUCGAGGGCGAGCGCCCCAGGAAGAAGAUUCCUGCCAAGGUGAUGUGGUAUUCUCCUAUAAUACCAUGGUUGAAACGUUUGUUCCAAAACAAAGAGCAUGCCAAGGCGAUGCGAUGGCACAGAGAAGACCGUAAGAAAGACGGAAAGUUGAGAGUACCCGCUGACGGGUCGCAGUGGAGAAAAAUCGAAAGAAAGUACGGGAAGGAGUUUGCAGAUGACGCAAGGAGCGUAUGUUUGGUCUAAGCGCAGAUGGCAUUAAUCCUUUUGGGGAGCAGAGCAGCAACCAUAGCACCUGGCCUGUGACUCUAUGUUUGUAUAACCUUCCUCCUUGGUUGUGCAUGAAGAGGAAGUUCAUCAUGAUGCCAGUGCUCAUCCAAGGCCCUAAGCAACCCGGCAACGACAUUGAUGUGUACCUAAGGCCAUUAGCUGAGGCAAACAAGCGGGCGGAUAGCACCAACCCAUCCAUGCCGAGAAGAAGCGUGGGUUCGGCCGCCCCGGACGAUGCAAUGCUGGGUAGAUACCCCGUGGAUGACAUCACGGAGAACACUAACUGCGAGCUACACGUCAAAAUAACGAACAUAUCCAUCAAGGUGGCGGACGCCGUUGCUUUUACAAAUCCCCCCGAGGCAACCUUCCAUUGCAACCCGAUUCCAGCGGGCUAUGCUCGUGUCUUGGUUGAUGAGGUGGUGGACCCACCAUAUUCGGAGCUACAGCUUGACAUUCCUGGAGGUGACGACGAGCACUUUCUCGGAGAGGCCAAACAUCGUAUCAUCCUAUGGAAAAAGGAUUGUAUCAUCUUUCGAAGGCCACCGACACCGCGUCAGCUGACUCCUCGUCGAAGUCCGCCACCGAGUCAGCAGUCUCCCGCUCCUGCAAGUCCACCAAGUCCGGCAAAGUGUCAGGCCACUCCUCCUCCAAGUCAGGCAAAGUGUCAGGCCACUCCUCCUCCUCCAAGUCCGCCACAGCGUCAGACGUCCACUCCUCCUCCAAGUCCGGCACAACCUCAGGCCACUCCUCCUCCAAGUCCGGCACAGCUUCAGGCGGCCACUCCUCGUCCAACUCAGUUCCGUCAGCCGUCUCCGCCGCCUCAGCAAUCGCAGAAGAGAUACCCCGCAGCUAUGGUGCGUAGCGGUACGAGUCGAGGUAGUACAGGAAGUACAGGGGGAGGCAAGCGAUAUAAAUAUGGUCCAAGCCUCACACCUCUUCAGCAGAGGGCUUAUGACAGGUCCGAGGAGGAAAUCUCAGCCAUAUCGAAGGCCGAGGUGGAAGUCCAUUUUGCACCGAAACCGCCACCGCCGCCAAGGGAGAAAGUGCCUGAGGAAACGAUUGACCACUUCAUUCGUAUGGCUCAACCACCAGCUCCCAAGCCUGUUGACACAGACUAUGAGCGCCACAUCAGGAAGUUAAAUCGAGCACGUCUACGUCAGGAGGCGAGCUCGGGAUCGAGCAAACAAGAAGCAGCUGUCAAAAAAUGCGGGAAAACCAUUCCCCAGCUGGGAGAACAGGCGGCGCAAUCGAUCCCCUCACUUGUUGUGCCAACAACACAUGACAGUAUGCGCGCCCAAUAUUAUCGUGGGCAAACAGUUUACGUUCCUGAGGUGGGCAAUGUGGUAAUAACGGAGGAGCAUAUAAUGCAGGCUGAAGUUCUCAAAAUCACUGUUGGACAACUCCUCGAGAUCGAGCCCAUGCCUGUGCUUAGAGAGGAUGAAAUAAAACGGAAAUAUGUCCGGGGCCAACCUUUGGUCGAGCCAGACAAGGUCAAGAACCUCCCAACGAGAAUGUAUGAAUUGCAUCAAUGGUACAUGAACAUUACCAAGAUUUCAGAUCGAUUGUCCCUCAUGGUGAAUGUCAAGGAGGAUCAUUACUUUCAUGAGAAAGCUUUGUCCGUUGAGUAUUCUAAACUGUUUCGGUUAUACAAUCAAGACGCACUCGACAAAUCUAUCGUCAGUUGCUAUUGUCUGUAAGUGAUUUCUUUCUGUAAUUUUACGUCUCAAGCUAGCUGUAGUGAUCCUUUUGAUCAAUCAUUACCUGUAAUUAUCCUUACUAUAUUCUUUUCUGUGGUAUUAUGCAGGAUGAAGAUGUAUGAAAUGAGAAAAGGUGGACGCUAUGGCAUUGGGUUCAUUGACCCAAACACCGUUAAUGAAUACACAUGGCGGAUAAAUCCACAUCAUCAAAAGGACGUAGAGGACAACAUGCUAGAGUUCUUAAAGCGCCUCAAAUACAAUAAAAAUAUACUACUUCCUUACAACUUCCAGUGAGUCACACUGUCUUGUACUACAAAUUCGCUGUUUUUGCCUACUAGCUAGCUACAUGUUUUUGCUUACAUAUGCCCGCUUAAUUAAAACAUGCAAACGUGUGUGCAUGCAGAUUUCACCGGGUCUUGUGCAUCAUUAAAGUUGACGCCGGAACAGUUGAAAUACUGGACUCACUACUCAAAGUUAAAACUGACUAUAACAUCUUGUUUGGGAUAGUCAACAGGUAAUUUCAAUCAUUAUUAACUAUAUAUCUCGGCCUAUUUAGUUCGUCAUUUCAUGAUAUGAACUAUUUAAUAACCCCUUUAUUCAUUUUCUUUGUCGGCGGGCAGGGCUUGGGCAAGGUUCAUCAGCAUCACGGAUGGCGAAUGGAAAAAAAAGCUUCAAUGGUUUCGACCCAAGGUAAGUAAUUAAGUAGUACUAGCUAGCUGGCUAGCUGCCAUCUCUUUAAUUAUCAUGCUUGGUUAAUUAUUAUCUGAUCAAAUUCCAUUCUCGUAAAGACCCUGAAGCAGGCGCAGGGGACUGAUCUAUGUGCAUUCUGCGUUUGCGAGAACAUUCGCAUGAUGGCGUCCGAAAGGAGCAGAUCUCAAAGACAGGAAUGGGUACGCUUGUCAGAACACUAUUCACAAUUUUUACACUAUUAUCGAUAUCUAGUCACACAACUAAUACACAUGCAUAUUGAUCUCCUUCUUAACCGUUCAGAGAGGUGCGGGAGAAGCUCCUAGAAACGGAGCGCAUAGAAGCACUUCAAGAGGAAAUAGCGGGAUUUUUGCUCGACCAGGUCAUAAAUCCGAAGGGAGAAUACUAUUACCCGCUACCGCCCCCAUGAAAACCACUUCCAAUUGUCAUCGUGCUCCGAAGGCACCAAUUAGGCUAAUGCCACUGGCUCCGAAGGCAACAUGCAUAUGUAGGAGAAAUUGUAUAUAGCUAGCUAUACAUUUGUGUAUGUGUGAAUUAAUUAAUAUGGUGGUUUGUGAGACAUUGAUGAUAUAUAUAUGCAUGAUUGGUUCUACUAGAAAUUCUAUUUAUAUAUAUAUAUAUAUAUAUAUAUAUAUAUAUAUGCAUAACGUGUAUAAUGUGUAGUAUCGUAAAAUACCAGCAAACGAAAAAGAAUUAAAAUGGAAACACAAAAUUAAAUGAAAAAGAAAUAAUAAAACUAAAAAAACCCCAAACCUUAUGCCACGUGGUUGCCCUUUACCACCGGUUCGUGCUGAACUGGUACUAAAGGGGGGGGCCUUUAGUGCCCACACUUUAGUGUCGGUUAUGGAACCAGCACUAAAGGGCCUUACGAACCGGUGCUAUUACCCGGUUCUGCACUAGUGUUGGUUUUGCUUAUUGAAUGCUCAUAUUGGAAAAGUUCUCCUUCAUUCCCGUGUGCUAGACAAUUUGGUGUAAUAAUGCACUCGGGAAUGAAAGGAGGAGCUACGUACAUCACUGAUAGUCAACCCGUGAUUAAUAAUAAUGAUCUAGUUUAAUAUUUGAAUUAUGAACAUAGGCCGGAAAUGUCGUACUCGGACGAUGAAAACCGCCCGGGGGAGUGCGACUGGUGCCACGACGACCGAGGUAUGUGCGACAGGUUCAUUGAGCUGGACGAAGAUCGACGCUUCAGCAUUAAGCUCGAGGAUACCUUCGAUGUUCAUACGGUACGCAACGACGACAAUAGUUUUUUUCUUAAUUAAGCACGACUUUAACUAUUUUAACGUGUAUUUUUCAUCUUUUCCAAUUUGACUAGCUUAUCCCAUGCUAUGCAAGACGCUAUGUCUUGGAGAGGAUGAAGGAAAUAUGCCCUAGAGGCAAUAAUAAAGUUAUUAUUUAUUUCCUUAUAUCAUGAUAAAUGUUUAUUAUUCAUGCUAGAAUCGUAUUAACCGGAAACAUAAUACAUGUGUGAAUACAUAGACAAACAUAGUGUCACUAGUAUGCCUCUACUUGACUAGCUCGUGAAUCAAAGAUGGUUAAGUUUCCUAGCCAUGGACAAAAGAGUUGUCAUUCGAUUAACGGGAUCACAUCAUUAGGAGAAUGAUGUGAUUGACUUGACCCAUUCCGUUAGCCUAGCACUUGAUCGUUUAGUAUAUUGCUAUUGCUUUCUUCAUGACUUAUACAUGUUCCUGUAACUAUGAGAUUAUGCAACUCCCGUUUAUUGGAGGAACACUUUGGGUGCUACCAAACGUCACAACGUAACUGGGUGAUUAUAAAGGAGUACUACAGGUGUCUCCAAAGGUACAUGUUGGGUUGGCGUAUUUCGAGAUUAGGUUUUGUCACUCCGAUUGUCGGAGAGGUAUCUCUGGGCCCUCUCGGUAAUGCACAUCACUAUAAGCCUUGCAAGCAAUGUGACUAAUGAGUUAGUUGCGAGAUGAUGUAUUACGUAACGAGUAAAGAGACUUGCCGGUAACGAGAUUGAACUAGGUAUUAGAUACCGACGAUCGAAUCUCGGGCAAGUAACAUGCCGAUGACAAAGGGAACAACGUAUGUUGUUACGCGGUUUGACCGAUAAAGAUCUUCGUAGAAUAUGUAGGAGCCAAUAUGGGCAUCCAGGUUCCGCUAUUGGUUAUUGACCAAGAAUAGUUCUAGGUCAUGUCUACAUAGUUCUCGAACCCGUAGGGUCCGCACGCUUAAGGUUUCGAUGACAGUUAUAUUAUGUGUUUAUGAGUUUUGAUGUACCGAAGGAGUUCGGAGUCCCGGAUGAGAUCGGGGACAUGACGAGAAGUCUCGAAAUGGUCGAGACGUAAACAUCGAUAUAUUGGACGACUAUAUUUGGAGUUCGGAAAGGUUUCGAGUGAUUCGGGUAUUUUUCGGAGUACCGGAGAGUUACGGGAAUUCGCCGGGGAGUAUAUGGACCUUAUUGGGCCAUACAGGAAUAGAGGAGAGAGGCCAAAAGGAAGGAGGCCUGCGCACCCCCUCUGGUCCGAAUUGGACAAGGGGCGCAGCCCCCCUUUCCUUCUUCCUCUCCCCCUCUUUCCCCUUCUCCUACUCCAACAAGGGAGGUGGAAUCCUACUAGGACUAGGGAGUCCUAGUAGGACUCCACACUUGGCGCGCCCCCUCCUAGGGCCGGCCUCCUCCCCCCUUGCUCCUUUAUAUACGGGGGCAGGGGGGCACCCCAUGACACACAAGUUGAUCUACGUGAUCGUUCCUUAGCCGUGUGUGGUGCCCCCCUCCACUAUAUUCCACCUUGGUCAUAUCGUCGCGGAGUUUAGGAGAAGCCCUGCGCCGGUAGAACAACAUCAUCGUCACCAUGCUGUCGUGCUGACGGAACUCAUCCCCGACACUUUGCUGGAUCGGAGUCCGGGGAUCGUCAUCGAGCUGAACGUGUGCUGAACUCGGAGGUGCCGUACGUUUGGUACUUGGAUCGGUCGGAUCGUGAAGACGUACGACUACAUCAACCGCGUUGUCAUAACGCUUCCGCUUACGGUCUACAAGGGUACAUGGACAUUACUCUCCCCUCUCGUUGCUAUGCACCACCAUGAUCUUGCGUGUGCGUAGGAAAUUUUUUGAAAUUACUACAUUUCCCAACAGUGGCAUCCGAGCCUAGGUUUUAUGUGUUGAUGUUAUAUGCACGAGUAGAACACAAGUGAGUUGUGGGCGAUACAAGUCAUACUACUUACCAGCAUGUCAUACUUAAUUUGGUUCAGCGGUAUUGUUGGAUGAAGCAGCCCGGACCGACAUUACACGUACGCUUACGCGAAACUGGUUUUACCGCCGUGCUUUGCACACAGGUGACUAGCGGGUGUCUGUUUCUCCAACUUUAGUUGAACCAAGUGUGGCUACGCCCGGUCCUUGAGAAGGUUAAAACAACAUUAACUUGACGAACUAUCGUUGUGGUUUUGAUGCGUAGGUAAGAACGGUUCUUGCUCAGCCCAUAGCAGCCACGUAAAACUUGCAACAACAAAGUAGAGGACGUCUAACUUGUUUCUGCAGGGCAUGUUGUGAUAUGGUCAAGACGUGAUGAGAUAUAAGUUGUUGUAUCAGAUGAUCAUGUUUUGUUGAAGUUAUCGGCAACUGGCAGAAGCCCUAUGGUUGUCUCUUUGUUACAUAAGAUGCAAGUGCCAAAUAAUUGCUUUACUUUAUCGCUAUACGAUAGCAAUAGUUGCAAGAGCAAUAGUUGGCGAGACGACCAUGUGACGACACAUUCAUAUAGACCAAGAUGAUGAAGAUCAUGGCAUCGUGCCGGUAACGAUAGAGAUCAUGACAGUACUUUGGAGAUGGAGAUCACAAGCACAAGAUGAUGAUGGCCAAUAUCAUAUCACUUAUAUUGAUUGCAUGUGAUGUUUAUCUUUUAUACAUCUUAUUUUGCUUAGUUUGACGGUAGCAUUUUAAGAUGAUUUCUCACUAAAUUAUCAAGAAGUGUUCUCCCUGAGUAUGCACCGUUGCGAAAGUUCUUCAUGCUGAGACACCAUGUGAUGAUCGGGUGUGAUAGGCUCUACGUUCAAAUACAGCGGGUGCAAAACAGUUGCACACGCGGAAUACUCAGGUUAAACUUGACGAGCCUAGCAUAUAACAGAUAUGGCCUCGGAACACGAAGACCGAAAGGUCGAGCGUGAAUCAUAUAGUAGAUAUGAUCAACAUAUUGAUGUUCACUGUUGAAACUACUCCAUCUCACGUGACGAUCGGACAUGGUGUAGUUGAUAUGGAUCACGUAAUCACUUAGAGGAUUAGAGGGAUGUCUAUCUAAGUGGGAGUUCUUAAGUAAUAUGAUUAAUUGAACUUUAAAUUUAUCAUGAACUUAGUCCCGGUAGUAUUUUGCAAAUUAUGUUGUAGAUCAAUAGCUCGCGUUUUUGCUUCCCUAUGUUUUUAUAUGUGUUCCUAGAGAAAAACUAAGUUGAAAAGAUGUUAGUAGCAAUGAUGCGGACUUGGUCCGUGAUCUGAGGUUUAUCCUCAUUGCUGCACAGAAGAAUUAUGUCCUUGAUGCACACGCUAGGUGACAGACCUAUUGCAGGAGCAGAUGCAGACGUUAUGAACGUUUGGCUAGCUCAAUAUGAUGACUACUUGAUAGUUUUAUGCACCAUGCUUUAUGGCUUAGAACCGGGACUACAAAAACGUUUUUGAAACGUCAUGGAACAUAUAAGAUGUUUCAAGAUAUGAAAUUGGUAUUUCAGACUCAUGCCCGUGUCAAGAGGUAUGAGACCUCUGAGAAAUACUUCGCCUAAAAGAUGGAGGAGAAUUGCUCAACUAGUGAGAAAGUACUUAGAUUGUCUGAGUACUACAAUCACUUGAAUCGAGUGGGAGUUAAUCUUCCAGAUAAGAUAGUGAUUGGCAGAGUUCUCUAGUCACCAUCACCAAGUUACUGGAACUUCGUGAUGAACUAUAAUGCAAGGGAUGACGAAAACGAUUCCUGAGCUCUUCGUGAUGCUGAAAUCGAUGAAGGUAGAAAUCAAGAAAAGAGCAUCAAGUGUUGAUGAUUGACAAGACCACUAAUUUCAAGAAAAGGGUAAAGGGAAAGAAAGGGAACUUCAACUAGAAUGACAAGCAAGUUGUCACUCCCGCGAAGAAGCCCAAAGCUGGACCAAAGCCUGAAACUGAGUGAUUAUACUGCAAAGGAAAUGGUCACUAGAAGCAGAAAUGCCCUGAAUAUUUGGUGGAUAAGAAGGAUGGCAAAGUGAACAAGGGUACAUUUGAUAUACAUGGUAUUGAUGUGUACUUUACUAGUGUUUAUAGUAGCCCCUGAGUAUUUGAUACUUGUUCAGUUGCUAAAAUUAGUAACUUGAAAUAGGAGUUACAGAAUAAACAGAGACUAGUUGAGGGUGAAGUGACGAUGUGUGUUGGAAGUAGUUCCAAGAUUGAUAUGAUCAUCAUCACACUCUCCCUACACUUUCGAGAUUAGUGUUGAACCUAAAUAAAUGUUAUUUGGCUUUGCGUUGAGCAUGAAUAUGAUUUGAUCAUGUGUAAUGCAAUACGGUUAUUCAUUUAAAGUCAGAGAAUAAUUGUUAUUCUGUUUACAUGAAUAAAGCCUUCGAUGGUCAUACACCCAAUGAAAAUAGUUUGUUGGAUCUCGAUCGUAGUGAUACACAUAUUUCAUAAUAUUGAUGCCAAAAGAUGCAAAGUUGAUAAUGAUAGUGCAACUUAUUUGUGGCACUGCCAUUUGGGUCAUAUCGGUGUAAAGCGCAUGAAGAAACUCCAUACUGAUGGGUUUUUGGAAUCGCUUGAUUAUGAAUCAUUUGAUGCUUGCAAACCGUGCCUUAUGGGCAAGAUGAGUAAAACUCCGUUCUUCAGAACAAUGGAACGAGCUACUGACUUGUUGGAAAUAAUACAUACUGAUGUAUGCGAUUCAAUGAGUAUUAAUGCUCGUGGCGAGUAUCGUUAUUUUCUGACCUUCACAAGAUGAUUUGAGCAGAUAUGAGUAUAUCUACUUAAUUAAGCACAAGUCUGAAACAUUUUAAAAGUUCAAAGAAUUUCAGAGUGAAGUGAAGAAUCAUCGUAACAAGAAAAUAAAGUUUCUGUGAUUUGAUCACGGAGACAAAUAUCCGAGUUACGAGUUUGGCCUUCAUAUAAAACAAUGUGGAAUAGUUUCACAGCUCAUGCCACCUGGAACACCAUAGCAUUAUGGUGUGUCCAAACGUCGUAACCGCACUUUAUUGGAUAUGGUGCGAUCUAUGAUGUCUCUUAUCGGUUUACCACUAUCGUUUUGGGGUUAUGCAUUAGAGACAGCUGCAUUCACGUUAAAUAGGGUACCAUCUAAAUCCGUUGAAACGACACCGUAUGAACUAUGGUUUGGCAAGAAACCAAAGUUGUCGUUUCUUAAAGUUUGGGGCUGCGAUGCUUAUGUGAAAAAGUUUCAACCUGAUAAGCUCGAACCCAAAUCGGAGAAGUGCGUCUUCAUAGAAUACCCAAAGGUAAAUAUUGGGUACACCUUCUAUCACAGAUCUGAAAGCAAGUUUCGUUGCUAAGAUGGAUCCUUUCUAGAGAAGAAGUUUCUCUCGAAAGAAGUGAGUGGGAGGAAAGUAGUACUUGAUGAGGUAAUUGUACCUUCUCCCUUAUUGGAAAGUAGUUCAUCACAGAAAUCAGUUCCAGUGAUUCCUACACCAAUUAGUGAGGAAGUUAAUGAUGAUGAUCAUGAAACUUCAGAUCAAGUUGCUACCAAACCUCGUAGGUCUUCCAGAGUACGAUCCGCACCAGAGUGGUACGGUAAUCAUAUUCUGGAAGUCAUGUUACUAGACCAUGAUGAACCUACGAACUAUGAGGAAGCGAUGAUGAGCCCAAAUUCCACGAAAUGGCUUGAGGCCAUGAAAUCUGAGAUAGGAUCCAUGUAUGAGAACAAAGUAUGGACUUUGAUUGACUUGCUCGAUGAUCAGCAAGCCAUGUUAAAUAAAUGGAUCUUCAAGAGGAAGACGGACACUGAUAGUAGUGUUACUAUCUACAAAGCUCGACUUGUCACAAAAAGGUUUUCGACAAGUUCAAGGUGUUGACUACAAUGAGAUUUUCUCAACUGUAGCGAUGCUUAAGUCUGUCCGAAUCAUGUUAGCAAUUGCCACAUUUUAUGAAAUCUAGCAAAUGGAUGUCAAAACUGCAUUCCUUAAUGGAUUUAUUAAAGAAGAGUUGUAUAUGAUGCAACCAGAAGGUUUUGUCAAUCCUAAAGAUGCUAACAAAGUGUGCAAGCUCUAGCAAUCCAUCAAUGGACUGGUGCAAGCAUCUCGGAGUUGGAAUAUACGCUUUGAUGAGUUGAUCAAAGCAUAUGGUUUUAUGCAGACCUUUGGAAAGGCCUGUAUUUACAAGAAAGUGAGUGGGAGCACUAUAGCCUUUCUGAUAAGUAUAUGUGAAUGACAUAUUGUUGAUCGGAAAUAAUGUAGAAUUUUCUGGAAAGCAUAAAGGAGUGUUUUAAAGGAUUUUUUCAAAGAAAGACCUCAGUAAAGCUACUUACAUAUUGAGCAUCAAGAUCUAUUGAGAUAGAUCAAGACGCUUGAUAAGAUUUUCAAUUAGUACAUACCUUGACAAGAUUUUGAAGUAGUUCAAAAUGGAACAGUCAAAGAAAGAGUUCUUGCCUAUGUUGCAAAGGUGUGAAAUUGAGUAAGACUCAAAUCCCGACCACGGCAGAAAAUAGAAAAGAGAAUGAAAGUCAUUCCCUAUGCCUCAGUCAUAGGUUCUAUAAAGUAUGCUAUGCUGUGAACCAGACCUAUUGUAUAUCUUGCUUUGUGUUUGGCAUAGGAAUACAAUUUUGAUCUAAUAGUAGAUCACUGGACAGCGGUCAAGAAUAUCCUUAGUGAGGACUAAGGAAAUACUUCUCGAUUAUGGAGGUGAUAAAAGAGCCCGUCAUAAAAAGUUACAUCGGUGCAAGCUUUUACACCGAUCCGGAUGACUCUAAGUCUCAAUCUGGAUACAUAUUGAAAGUGGGAGCAAUUAGCUAGAGUAGAUCCAUGCAGAGCAUUGUAGACAUAGAAUAUUUGCAAAAUACAUACGGCUCUGUAUGUGACAGACCCGUUGACUAAACUUCUCUCACGAGCAAAACAUGAUCAUACCUUAGUACUCUUUGGGUGUUAAUCACAUAGCGAUGUGAACUAGAUUAUUGACUCUAGUAAACCCUUUGGGUGUUGGUCACAUGACGAUGUGAACUAUGGGUGUUAAUCAUAUACAGAUAUGAAUAUUGAUGUUAAAUCACAAGGCGAUGUGAACUAGAUUAUUGACUCUAGUGCAAGUGGGAGACUGAAGGAAAUAUACCCUAGAGGAAAUAAUAAAGUUAUUAUUUAUUUCCUUAUAUCAUGAUAAAUGUUUAUUAUUCAUGCUAGAAUCGUAUUAACCGGAAACAUAAUACAUGUGUGAAUACAUAGACAAACAUAGUGUCACUAGUAUGCCUCUACUUGACUAGCUCGUGAAUCAAAGAUGGUUAAGUUUCCUAGCCAUGGACAAAAGAGUUGUCAUUUGAUUAACGGGAUCACAUCAUUAGGAGAAUGAUGUGAUUGACUUGACCCAUUCCGUUAGCCUAGCACUUGAUCGUUUAGUAUAUUGCUAUUGCUUUCUUCAUGACUUAUACAUGUUCAUGUAACUAUGAGAUUAUGCAACUCCCGUUUACCGGAGGAACACUUUGGGUGCUACCAAACGUCACAACGUGGGUGAUUAUAAAGGAGUACUACAGGUGUCUCCAAAGGUACGUGUUGGGUUGGCGUAUUUCGAGAUUAGGUUUUGUCACUCCGAUUGUUGGAGAGGUAUCUCUGGGCCCUCUCGGUAAUGCACAUCACUAUAAGCCUUGCAAGCAAUGUGACUAAUGAGUUAGUUGCGAGAUGAUGUAUUACGUAACGAGUAAAGAGACUUGCCGGUAACGAGAUUGAACUAGGUAUUAGAUACCGACGAUCGAAUCUCGGGCAAGUAACAUGCAGAUGACAAAGGGAACAACGUAUGUUGUUAUGCGGUUUGACCGAUAAAGAUCUUCGUAGAAUAUGUAGGAGCCAAUAUGGGCAUCCAGGUUCUGCUAUUGGUUAUUGACCAAGAAUAGUUCUAGGUCAUGUCUACAUAGUUCUCGAACCCGAAGGGUCCGCACGCUUAAGGUUUCGAUGGCAGUUAUAUUAUGAGUUUAUGAGUUUUUAUGUACCGAAGGAGUUCGGAGUCCCGGAUGAGAUCGGGGACAUGACGAGAAGUCUCGAAAUGGUCGAGACGUAAACAUCGAUAUAUUGGACGACUAUAUUUGGAGUUCGGAAAGGUUUCGAGUGAUUCGGGUAUUUUUCGGAGUACCGGAGAGUUACGGGAAUUCGCCGGGGAGUAUAUGGACCUUAUUGGGCCAUACAGGAAUAGAGGAGAGAGGCCAAAAGGAAGGAGGCCUGCGCACCCCCUCUGGUCCGAAUUGGACAAGGGCGCAGCCCCCCUUUCCUUCUUCCUCUCCCCCUCUUUCCCCUUCUCCUACUCCAACAAGGGAGGUGGAAUUCUACUAGGACUAGGGAGUCCUAGUAGGACUCCACACUUGGCGCGCCCCCUCCUAGGGCCGGCCUCCUCCACCCUUGCUCCUUUAUAUACGGGGGCAGGGGGCACCCCAUGACACACAAGUUGAUCUACGUGAUCGUUCCUUAGCCGUGUGCCGUGCCCCCCUCCACCAUAUUCCACCUCGGUCAUAUCGUCGUGGAGUUUAGGCGAAGCCCUGCGCCGGUAGAACAUCAUCAUCAUCACCACGCCGUCGUGCUGACGGAACUCAUCCCCGACACUUUGCUGGAUCGGAGUCCGGGGAUCGUCAUCGAGCUGAACGUGCUGAACUCGGAGGUGUCGUACGUUCGGUACUUGGAUCGGUCGGAUCGUGAAGACGUACGACUACAUCAACCGUGUUGCCAUAACACUUCCGCUUAUGGUCUACAAGGGUACGUGGACAUUACUCUCCCCUCUCGUUGCUAUGCAUCACCAUGAUCUUGCGUGUGCGUAGGAAAUUUUUUGAAAUUACUACGUUUCCCAAUAGAGGAUGGGUUUUGAAGACCAUGAAAGUAUGGAAACCAAAAAAAUUAUCCUAAGUACCCAAUAUGGUGUGGAUUUCCAAGUAAAGCUGUACAAUGCUGAGAGUGUAAUCCAUUUUGGUUGCAAAAAUUGGAAAGCACUUUGCAAGAUGUAUGGUUUUGAUGAGGGUAUGCUUGUCACCAUGGAUCUUGGUGAUCCUACAAUCGAGUAAGAGAGACCUUCGAUUUGGGUCCUUGUGGAUACACCUCCAAUUCUUUCCCCAUGUGAGCUUAACAUAGUUAUUAAGUAAUUUAUAUUGUUUAUUUCAAAAUAGUUGACAUCUUAUUUCCAUUAACAGAUUAUUUUCAUUCUUCAAAGAAUGUGUGGAAGAUGGUAGACAAAACCCACUACACCGAUGGCUCCGAAUUAACUUAUAGGGUGAAAAAUCAUCUGAUCGCAUUUUGUACUGAUCUUGAGAAUUACAAUGUCUAUAAUCGAACUCCUCAACAUUAUGGUCAAUACGUGCCACUAGUGCAUGUGUUGAACUACGGUAACUACCAUGGAGAUACCCUGGUAAGAGUUUUUACUAUUACGACAUCCGUGCAUCUUUUUGCACACUUCUAAAACUAGUACAUCAUUGCUAACUACGAAGUUAUUACUACUUUUUCAACAGAUAAUCCCGAAUGAUUGUGUGCCUCAUCUGAUGUAUACGCACGGUACCCUUCAUGUUUUGAACAUACAACCAGGUCUUCCUACGAAUCUGAACUGUCCAUACCGGGUUUCUAAAAGAAGUGGAGACAUGACAAUCAAAGAAUGGAAAAAAUGUAUGGACAGUCGUAAGGAGCUUCUUGGAAGCAAAAGGCAGCGAAGCGCAAGAAUUGGAGACAGGAUGAUCUCCAUUCUUCAUAAUGGAGAGUCAGGGUCUAUAUUAUUUUAUGCUAUUUUACCUUAAUGGUGUUUAGGUCCUACCUGAUACUGAUAAUCAUGUGCUAAGAACAAUUAUGUAGGGUUGGGUUCGAUGACUAUGAGAAUGAUGAUCGUAUGACUUAUUAUUAAUAACGAGUAGAAGUUGUAUGAUGAUGCAUGAUUAGUAGGACUUGUUAUUAUAUAUGAUGAUGUAUGAUGCGAGCAUGCAUGAGUUAUUAUAUCAGCGGGUGAAAUGAACAUAACAGCAGCAUUGGUAAACCAAGGACGAAGAUAUAAGAGAGGACACUUCUCUCUAUUAGCUAGCUAAUAACAACCUAAAAAUAACCCCCAAACCCCCUAAAGCAGCCACUUUUUAAAAAAAAACAUCGACUUUUGGUCCCGGUUGAUGCCACCAACCGGGACCAAAGGCCCCCCUGCCUGGGCUCGACGCACCGGCCACGUGGAGGCACAUCUGUCCCGGUUUGUGUUUGAACCGGGACUAAAGGGGGAGGUAUUAGUAACGACCCAUUAGUCCCGGUUCAUGAACCGGGACUAAAGGCCCUUACAAACCGGGACAAAUUCCCCCUUUUCUACUAGUGUACUAACCAGAAUUGAAGCAUCGAGAUUCCCCUCCAUGCCAUUGGCUGCCAGAGUGGUAGUUAGAGGGGCUGUGAUUCCAUGUGCUCUUUGGUGAAGUCUGGAGGGGAGAAUUUGCCCCGGCCUCCAAGGAAUAGAGGAGGAAAAGCUAAACACGUUCUUUGUUUUCUUUGAUCAUUUGCUCUUCUUUAAUUUACCAUCUUAAUGAUUUUCCCUUUUUACUUGCUUUAAAUUAUUUUCAUGUUGUUGGUUGGAUAAUGAUCAAUAUUUUGAUCUAGUUUGUUGGAGGUGAUAACAGAUUAAACAGAAUAUUAUCUAGAUCAUGAGUGUUCAUCCCAUUUUCUUCGAGAAUUAACGAACUAGUUAAUCUUCAUCUAUAAUCAAUUGGAUAGGAUUAAGGGUACAGGUAUGCAUGUAACCACCCAAUGCACACACACAUGCAUGUUCGAGUUGAGAAGUUUGGGGCUGAGGAGAGCUACCGAACAGGCCCUAAGUAGAUGCUCUCCUUUGAGAACCACCAUUCAUCUCAUGUUCAACCCCACCCCGUCAUUGCUUCUCGGUUUCUUUGUGGAAUCCUUUUCCCUAUUGAAGGGCACAUCUCCUGGCAAUCCACUUCUGAGCCCAGGCUCAGCUGCACCCGCCCUGACAAAAAAAAUCAAAACAAAUACUAGGAAAAAUCAAAAAAAAUUGUGUGGUACAUAAUUUGAUGCGUGAGGUCCGCUCUAGUUUUAAAAUCAUUUGGACAUAUGAGCAGCUCUCGGCAAAAAAGACAAAUUCGGGGUCUGUAAAAAUGUUUAUUGUUCAUGCAUUGUUUUGACCUAAUUUGUCUUUUUUGCUGAGAGCUUCUCAGAAGUCCAAAUGAUCUAAAAUUUGGAGCGAACCUCACGUGAUAAAUUGUCUACCAUACAAAAAAUUGGAAUUUUUUGAAUUUUUAUUUUAUUUUUUGUGAUUUGUUUUUUGGGCGGGUGCAGAUGAGUCUGGGCACCGAAACACCGCACGCCACAUCUCCUCUUCAUCCUACUAUUUCAAGAGGAAUUAAUUAAAUGCACCAGGACAUGAAACUGUUUGUCAUCACCCCAAAAACUUGAUAAGCUGUGAGAAAAAAAAUCUCCGACCAAAAGCCACCAAGCAAAACCUUGUCCAACAAGGAUAUCAAAGAAGAGUGCGACCACACACGAAAUCAUUCAAUAGCUAGGAACAAAUACGCUCUCUAUAACAACAAAAAAGUCAUCGAGGAUGUAAAGUGAAGGUAUUUUAACAUCGAAGUAUCUUCAAACUGGAUGCAUGAGAAAAUAUCUCUCAAGUAAAAUAUUGUUUGACGACGUAAAAAGGUAUGACAUAAGAUAAUGAAAAAAAAAUUAUCUCCAUAAAUCUUGGAAUAGAUGUGAUCUAUUUUUCUUGCAACAAAAUGUGACAAACAUGACCCCAAGAUUUAUCUCGAUAAAUCAAUCUUGGAAUAUAAUGUUUUUUUAGAAAUAACCACAUAUAUUUCAUUAGAAAAACAUAUUACAAAGACAUGUGGUCAUCAAAGAAGACACACAUAGAUGUCUUGCAAUAUUGCAUCAAAGACUUCACAAGAACUAAAACUAUAAUUUCACUUCGGCAGAAUCUUGUGCCACGCCCAAACGUCGCCCACCAUCGUCCUCCUUCGCCGCUGAGGUAACGUCGAAGAAAGAGGGGAACCGCCUUCAUACCAAGAUCUAGAGGAGCACCUUUGCAUACAAUGGUGUUUUUCGAGCCGAUGAACCCGACCGUCGCAAGCGACGAGACCGAGAUUUUGUGACAUGUCGUCCGGGGUUCUUCCUCGUGUCCGCUAGAUCCCAGCGUUGUCCACUUCAUUCGACUAGGUCGAAGAAGAUGAAUGCCGCUGCAUUCCAUCAUCCACGCACCCCACUGCAAGACACCAAACACAACCGCAACAGUCGGCACCAAGGCCACCCAAGAGAGAGUGAAGCGCCGACCAUCAGACACAAAUGUUACAAGAUCUGAAGACCGGCAAGAAGACCGAGCCACCUGCUCCCCAGCGUCGUCCAUUAGAGCGCCAUCGGAUAAAGGUAGAGCGGAAGCAAAUUAUUUUGACGCGGCGCCGUCCACACCAUUGAUGCAACAUCUCUGAAAACAAACUAUGCCUAUCCUAUAUCCCUACCUGACAGAAACUGUUGUGACCUAUUUGUCUUGUUAAAAUAGUGGAUCAACUGCACAUGAUGGUAUGUAGCAUGACUCUGCACAGAUAGCUUUCUUAUAAAUUUGAGGCAUAGAGGUUUCGUGGUGUAGUUGGUUAUCAAGACCUUCUAACACACUGAAGGUCUCCGGUUCGAACCCGGGCGAAGCCACUCCGUUUUUUUCUUUUUUUUUCACUGUGUAAAAAAAAGCAAAAAAAACAAGAAAAUAAAAAAGAUGAUGAUGGCCCAUACAGGUCUCCAACCUGUGACCUUCGCGUUAUUAGCACGACGCUCUAACCAGCUGAGCUAAUAGGCCUUUUGUGACAUUUUACAUUUUGUUCCUCAUAUUUCAGAUAGGACUUGUAUAUUAUCAUCCCUUCUCGUUGUAAUAAAUAGAACACGUAAUAGGCCUUUUGGUUCUCUUAAGUUAUUUUAACUUCUAUAUUGCAAAGAACUGAAUAUUAAGUACCUUCGCCAGAAGGGCUAAUGGUCUUUUGCUGUUGGUCUUCUCAUGCUGCGGUUUUCCUCUUCCCUAUGGUUUCAUUUGCAGCAGUAUUUUCUUUUCUUCUGAUUGACGAGUUAUGUAUUAGAUUGUCGAGUUUUGUGGUUUAUAGCGCAGGAUUUUGUUUCUACAAAAGGUAGAUCCCAACAAGACACCAUGGUAUGCGUAUCUUGUAGUCUAUCUGUCUUAUUGAGAAAAUACAUUAAUGUCUCAUGGUGUAGUAGGUUAUCACGUCAGUCUAACACACUACAUGGCGAAGCCAAAUUGUUAUUGUUUUUUCUUUUCUGUAAAACUACAAAAUGCACCAAUAAAUCUUUGUCAUUUGCUAGUUUCCCAUUUCAGUACCUAUGUUUGUAAGUAUUCUUCCCUCUUGGAAUCUCCAUUUUGCCACUGUUUCUCACUUUCUGUGAUGUGAUGUGUGCGCAAAUAUUCCCACAACAACUAAACAAUAAUAAAGCCAUAUACGCAAGCGAUCGAAUAAUGGCAACUUUAUAUUACCACUCAAGGCACAUCUCCAAACCGACCUGUCUGUCCAUAGUUGCGUCUCAACACUCGGGGCAGAAGGCUCGCUCUCAACCACUGCUUCAUAUCACCAGGAUCCACACGGCCAAAUAGUGUCCUCCAUUUUCGAAGUGAUGACAGUAUAUCUCGUGGGAAAAUUGUUUCCACAGUUCAAUAUCCCUCCCUUUGAUGAAAAAAAAUUACACUCAGCUUCUGCAUCACAGGAUGCAUAACGAAAAUUGUUUUGUUCGUUCUGUGCUGGAACACUAUAUCUUGUGUAAAAUAAAUGUUUCAACAAUAUCGACAUUCCCUCCCAUAAAAUAAAAUCAUCAAUAGCUCACUUCUCUAUAUACCUGGAUGGUAAGUAAUGGCCGGUGUGAGCACCCAAGACGGCACGCCAAUUAUCACCACUACGUAGACAAGUCACUAUAUGCACCCAAUUAUGCAAGAAAAAUAAUAUAAGUCAAGAACUGUCUGGACGCAGAUGGAGCUUUCUACAGAUGGGGACAAGAAUUUGGCACCACCCACUCAGUUUACCUCUCACCUUUUUGCAUUGCUUUCAUAUGUAAAAAAUAGUGAGUGGAUUUGCGAUCUGCCUUAAAAUGACAAGAUGGGGGUUGUGGGUUUUAAAAACUUCCAAAUGCAUUCUUUAUGUUCACAUGUUUAUUUAUUUUGUAUUUGUUUGUGCAUGUCAUAAAAAUUAUAAAUUUCCACAAGCAUACAUAAUAUUCAAUGAUCUACAUCGACAAUAGGGUUUGAGAUUUUUCAAAGCAUGACAAAAAAAUCAAAUGAGGUCGGCUGGAAAUUAAAGAUAUGUUCGGAGAUCCAAACAAUUAUGAUCUCUUUGAUACAAACUUCAAAGGAAUCAUUAUAGAAAAAUAGGAGAUUAUAAUUGUUAGAUUAUUUUCCUACGGGACUAGUUGGGCUGGAAACCAUAACAAUAUUUUCUAUUGCCUACUUGACAUGUAUUUGUAAGGAAAAUUAUGUCGAGCCAAAUCUUCUGAAAAUAAUUUCGUUGGUUCAAUGACAACUAUAUGCUUGCACCUAAUGCUUUAGAAAAUUCUUGAAUUUUUCCCUCUUGCGAUAAAUCAACAUCCAUAUUUUACGCAUUGCACUAUCUUCAGUUCUCAUAAGAUUCAACAUAGCAUGACACGAAAUAUGUAUGUUAAUUUUUCUGGUUCCUAUCUUUUUAAAAUGCCGCAAAAGGAUGUGGCAUGUAAUCUUCAAAAAAUAGUGGGAUUGUGAUAGUUAUUGAAAUGCAUGUAGGACGGAGACUAAACUUUCAGUAAAAUUCAACUUAUAAUACUAAAACUGGAAAAGUUGCCAAAACCUACGGCAACCAAGAGCUGCCAAGAUUUCUUAAAUAAAAAACCUUUGCGCGACAUUCCCCUAAGAAGACAUAAAUGUUUCCUUGUCUUGACAUUCAAAAACACUGAGUGAGGGUUCUCGGCCGAAUUUCACUAAGAACUUGCAUAAAAGAGAGCUGUCUAUUAUUAUUAUUAUUUUCUAGGGUUUCAGAAUCUAGUUGGAUAUUGCUUUAAUUUGGAAUUCAUAAUUUGCCGAGAAACAGCACUAUAAAGUAAAGCAUUCCUAAACUUGACCNNNNNNNNNNNNNNNNNNNNNNNNNNNNNNNNNNNNNNNNNNNNNNNNNNNNNNNNNNNNNNNNNNNNNNNNNNNNNNNNNNNNNNNNNNNNNNNNNNNNNNNNNNNNNNNNNNNNNNNNNNNNNNNNNNNNNNNNNNNNNNNNNNNNNNNNNNNNNNNNNNNNNNNNNNNNNNNNNNNNNNNNNNNNNNNNNNNNNNNNNNNNNNNNNNNNNNNNNNNNNNNNNNNNNNNNNNNNNNNNNNNNNNNNNNNNNNNNNNNNNNNNNNNNNNNNNNNNNNNNNNNNNNNNNNNNNNNNNNNNNNNNNNNNNNNNNNNNNNNNNNNNNNNNNNNNNNNNNNNNNNNNNNNNNNNNNNNNNNNNNNNNNNNNNNNNNNNNNNNNNNNNNNNNNNNNNNNNNNNNNNNNNNNNNNNNNNNNNNNNNNNNNNNNNNNNNNNNNNNNNNNNNNNNNNNNNNNNNNNNNNNNNNNNNNNNNNNNNNNNNNNNNNNNNNNNNNNNNNNNNNNNNNNNNNNNNNNNNNNNNNNNNNNNNNNNNNNNNNNNNNNNNNNNNNNNNNNNNNNNNNNNNNNNNNNNNNNNAAUUUAGGUUUUUAUAAACUUGGUCAAACAUAGAAACAUUUGAAGAAAAAAAGUAGAGCUUAUAUUUUGAAAAUGGGAUUUAGUAAGUACACCAAUAAUUCGAUAUACCCACAAAAUGCUGGCUUUAGUUCCUUUCAUGGUUCCUUUGUUGUAAGAAAGAAGCUAGUAGACACAAAGGGAAUCAAAUCAUGGGAGGAGGCGGCCCUAUCCUUAUUCCUCUUCCCCACGCGGUUGCUCCCGUCCAUCCUUUGCCAAAGGUGCAGCAUCUCGCAUUUCCUUCUUCAUCUUCUCUUUCUCCUCCUUCCUUGAUGCUCACUCGCCUAUAAAUAGCCCUCGCUGCCUGCCAUUGUUACUCAAGCCAGCAAGCAAGAAGCACAGAAGAAGCUCCUAGCCAACACCAAUCAAAGCUUCCAUCCAAUCCCAAGCAACCUCGACGAUGUCUUGCUGCGGAGGAAACUGCGGCUGCGGCAGCGCCUGCAAGUGCGGCAACGGCUGCGGCGGCUGCAACAUGUACCCGGAGGCCGAGGCCGCCGGCGCCACCCUCCUCGUCUCCGCCACCGCCACCCACAAGGCGUACGUCCCUUCUCUUCUCCUCAGCUCAUACAUCAUCAUGCACUCGAUCGUAAUAGAGAGAAUAUGACUGUAUGUUGAUCUUGGUAUGGAUGGGGUACGUGCAGGAGCUCCAGCGGCAUGGAGAUGGCGGCGGAGAACGGCGGCUGCGGCUGCACCCAGUGCAAGUGCGGCACCAGCUGCGGCUGCUCCUGCUGCAGUUGCUAGAUCCAUCAUCGGUCAUGCAUGCACCGCGUGCAUCAUAUCUUUGAUCGAUCCAUCCAUCUACUUACCAUGUAACGCUACCUGAUCGAGGGUCUUUGUAUGUAUGUACGCACCUGCCUGCAUGAGCAGAGCAGGUGCCAUGCCAUGCAUGUAAACCCCUAAAUAAAAUCUCCCGUGGUUUAACCUAUAUAAAUGCGUUUGUGUUAUAGACCAGCUUCUGGCCCACGUUUACUAUCAACUUGCAAGGUGCCUGGGUUGUUAAUAGACCAGCUGAAUGAGCUUCAGGUGCUACAUUCGUGAAAAGGACUCGUGGUUUAUAACGCAUAUUGUAGCCUAGUAGCCACAUAUCAGCUGCGCUCAAUAUGCAGGAUUUCCAUUGGAUCAGAUCUUUCGCUUUGACGAAUUUGGACCUAGCGAAAAGGAUUCUUAAGCCUUCGCGCAAACAAGCAAAGUAGAAGCAAGACGAGGAAGUGGAGCUGUCGUAGAAGCAGUAGCUUCCCCCGACAAUAUACAAUACAACAGUAGCGACCAUGAAUAAAAAAGCCCCUUGUUUAACGAGUUCGCUGCUUUUCCCAGGCCGGAGAAGGGCAACUACUUAUUGAUUGAUCGCCUUUCUUUGAUAUGUGUUCAAUUUAGUAUAAUACAAACUACAACUAGAUCAAAGCGGAAGGGCCACUCACUAUAGAAGCUAUAACUAGAAAAGCCCUAGCCAAUAGUUUAGUAGUCGGCCAAACCCCCAUGCUCACGACAUGUUCUUGAUAUUGAUUGAGUUGGAGAGAGUCAGAGACUACCACGGAAUCCUUCCAUAGUCACCCCGGUGACCUUCGUCACCAAAGCGUCACAACAGUUUCCAAGACCCCUCAUAUAAUCUCCAGUGGGGAUCAGUCGGAGCACAUAAGAAUGCCGACCACUACAUAAGCCGCUGGCGGAGAAAGCUCGAAGAGCUUCCCUUCAUUCGCUUCGCGGGAGUCGCACACAGCACAUAGCUGGAAGUCAGAGGGCCCGUACUACCUGCCUAACCCUUCGCUCUGAGGGACCGUAGAACGGAAAGCGCCUUCUAAACAACUCGGCAGAAGGGAAGGGGCCUAUGUAUUUGCAUGACCCCUGCGGAUUUGACCCUACCUACACCCGGAGCCAACCCCCUAGCGGUCCUGCCACCACGCCGCAGAACAGGAGCUCGUGUGGAACCUUGGAUUUCUGGCAUAACAGCGAUGGAAGGUAUCAAAAUAUUACGGCCGCAUAACCAUAACAUAGUAUAUACGCUAAGGUCGGCCAAAAUAUGGACACCCGAAGGGCCCGGCGUGCACAAUCCUAUCCUAUCCGAGCCCGUCAUUGCAUGCACUUCGGACAGCCGUCCGUAGCAUCAUAAGGAGCACCUCCCUUUCGAGGUACCCAAAUGGAACGGUCUUUAUUUGUGUUGUUGGUUGGUCUUUCUCAAUGUGGUCUAUAGCACGAAUAACCAUUCUUUACAAGAUAGGGCCGUUCACAUGAAAGAAAAUACAAAAUCCAUUCUUCAUGGUCGGACGCAUUUCUCCAAAUCCUCCAGGAUCACAAGUGGAAUGCUAAGCAAGGGUGGGGAGGCUGCGAGCUCUGCGUCGAAUAGAAAGAAGCAAGCGGGGGUGUUGCCGUAGCGCGCCGGAGAGCAAGCGUAGGCAACCAAACUAAAUAAGGCUACAAAAGUAGCUAGCUAGCGUUUUUAAGCUGGCUGCCUUUUCUAGCGCGCGUACUCUUCUGUGGAGUCGCAAGGAACGAGCCUUGUCUUCCCUCCAACGACUAGCUCCCUUUUCUUAUUUCGGUCACCCUUCUCUUGUCGUGGAAGGACUUUUGCUUGUGGUGUGGUCCAACCCGUGGACGGAGUCGUCCUCAUCCCCCCAUUGCUCAGUGCUCCCUGCAGCUUCGCUGGGCUUUACCCGCGUGGGCGCGGGCUUCUAUAAGAGAAUGAAAAGCUCUCUUUUUACAAUAAAAUGCGAACCACACGGAGCCCACCCUUUUUCGUUUUUUGCCGCCACUGGGUGGCCACAGGGGAAACACAUCCCGGCCGCCUCUCAGGAAAGGGGGGUGGGCCUACCUAUCCCGAGGGAGCAGCUGAGAGGUUCAAUAUGCCGAGCCGAAGGGCAGAACUUCAAUGCGUGAUCAUAGUAUGUCACCUCGUCUCGUCCUCGCAGCAUCGAAGAGUACCUAUGCACUAUGUUCGGUUCACUGAUAAGGAAGAUAGAGUUGGGGUGGGGGUCUACGAUGUGAUACUAUAGUAUGCCCCGGGGAGAAAGAUGCGCAACUCAAAACGGAAGCAGGAAGCGUGUUGUCAAAAAUGUUGGAGGUUACCAGAUCUCCGAGACUACCAUUGAUCCGACAGAGCGGAACGACCAGAAAAAGAAGUGGAGUUAGAAAGCCGUAUGAUAGGUGGUAACUAUCUUGUACGGUUCGGGGGGUAAGCGGCGUACUCUGGGGGAAUAUUAGGCUCUAUCGACCAUACAGGGAAUUGGAGGUAGCAUUUUACUUAUGUUAAGUCAUGGACUAGUUUCUUCAGCCCUUUUUCUAUGUGUUGGUGUUCUAUAUGACCGACAUAAACUCGACUUGUGAGAUAUUAUGGAGGUUUAGUGAGCACCAUGCCAAAUUUCUCUACCAUUUUCUUAUUUUUCACUUUAGCCAAUAUGAGUUUACCUGGCACUAGCAGCUUUAUCGGGGAAUUUCUAAUCUUAGUAGGAGCUUUCCAAAGAAAUUGCUUAGUAGCCACAUUUGCUGCGCUUGGGAUGAUUUUAGGCGCGACAUAUUCCCUUUGGCUAUAUAAUCGUGUGGUUUCUAGAAAUUUAAAACCCGAUUUCCUCUAUAAAUUCUCUGAUCUAAUUGGUAGAGAAGUUUCCAUAUUUCUACCUUUUCUUGUUGGAGGGGCGACCGUCCGUUGAACUACCAAAAAAGGGUAAACCAAUGUGAUCAUGACAUUGUAGGAGCUUGCGAUGGGACGGAUGUGACUUCCCUCAUAAGUAAUGGGUGGCAUAGCUCGUAGCAGAAGUCCCCUUUUUUAUCCAUUUCUUUAUUACCCCAGAGGGGCCCAGCCUUGCGGGACCGAGAGAAAGAAAGGACGGGGGGCGACCAUGCAUGGCACUUCUCGACCGUGUCUCCGAGGAAUAGUUGAACGAGCGACUCAUGAAAGCUACCGGGUCGGACGAGCCAAUAACUCGAACGUGUUCAGUCAGUUUUUUGAGCAAGAAUCACAGUGUUACCUUACCUUCACCAUGAUACGGACUCCAAGUUCUUAUGGCAGAGCACGAGGAGUUUCCUUCAAUAUGAUGAUGAGAAUGGAAACCAGAAGCACGACUGGGUCUUCAUAGUCCGAGAUCAUACUUAUAUAUCAGUCACAGUAAUGUAAGCAUGAAAAUUUUUGGUAGUACCGGUGAACCAGAUGGCCGCAGCGAGGGAAUCUGGGAUGGAGGACUCGUAAUAUCUCUAUAGAUCUAGCAAAAGCGAAAGACCCUAACAUCAGGGGCUGACCAAUGAGCUCACUCAGGCCCCGCUGGGCGGUCCAAAGUGGGUGCGAGCUGGAAUUGCCAUAGCUUAUGGUUAGAGCAAUAGGAAAGGGCCCUACAGAGAGAACAGUCGGGAUAACGAGCGUGGAGCCCACUUGGCAGGCAGCAGGAGCAGCGGGCAAGUGCUUGCUUGGUAGGCUAACAGCCCUGUGAAUCGGGCGGGGCACUCGACGAAAGGGGGGCAUGCUGAGCAAGUACGCAAAAUUGGCCCUGUGGAGCUUUCAAAAAGAAAAGCAAGGACCACUACGGGAGGUCGAACCACGGACCGGAGGUAGUAGAACGUGAUCCGCACCGGUCAAUAUUGGAUCAAACAAUAGGGGACCAUAGCACUGACCCUUUUUUCAAGACAAUAGGUAUUGUUCCCUACCAAGACAAGGGACACUCUCAACGGAUCCUCCACGCGCUGGGCAUACCAUAGUUCUUCCGUUCGUCUUUAUCAUGGCGGAAACAGAACAAGAGGGAAAGACCCGGCCGACUCGCCAAGGGCUCGAGGGCGAGCCAUACGUGAGUGAGUCGAAUUCUGUUUACGUACUCGGUUUGGGUUCGGGCCCCUCUCGAUCUUUUGCGUAUAAGGGAAGGGGGAAGGAGUCUAAAUCUAUGGACAUUAAUGAACCACCAUUGAUGGACGUUGCACAUGACACAAGAAAUUUGACUCGACGAUCCGGUGCUAAUAGAAGUCGCUUACUCUCCGCCUAGCGAAGGUGCCAGAUCCUUAAAAUAAAGUAUCUAUCAGCCUAGUGUACCAACCACGUGGUACGACGGGCACUCAAAGACCUGACGAAUGAGGGGCCACCCCACCUAAGAGUGCUUAUGUCAUAUGGGAACUCUCGGCUGGAAACAAUCCUUAUGGUUUUUAUAUCCGGUUAGAAUAAUAAGAAAGAAUCAAAGUCCAUGUUGGUUGGUGAGCCUAGUGAUAGGAGACUAUCUAGCUUGGUUCAGAGAGCACUUGUUGGGUUUCAAAUUCAUUUUUUGCUAAAUGUUACGGCCUAAAUGUUGAACUAUUGACCCUACUUGUUCGGAUGGGUGUUCACCCCAAAGUGUUCCCGGACUGCAUGCAUACAUCCGUAAGUAACUUAGUGCAACAUGGCAAAUUUCAUUGAGUAGAAUCAGCAAACAAAAUAAAUCUUCUCCGGGUGACAGGGCCGCCUCGUUAAUAGACCAUGCAUAUUGUCGAGUUUUGUGUUUUAUAGCGCAAGAUUUUGUUUUUACAAAAGGUGGAUUCCAACAAGACACGAUGGUAUGCGUAUCUUGUAGUCUAUCUGUCUUCUUGAGAAAAUACAUUAAUGUCUCGUGGUGUAGUAGGUUAUCACGUCAGUCUAACACACUACAUGGCGAAGCCAAAUUGUUAUUGUUUUUUUUCCUGCAAAACUACAAAAUGCACCAAUAAAUCUUUGUCAUUUGCUAGUUUCCCAUUCUCGCGACUCUUAAUAUGAAGCCCAUGAAGACAUUAAAGAUAGCGGUGGACAGCUAAGGGCCUAAGGCCCAAGGGCGACUUAGGGCCCGUAGGUAUAAACCGCCAUAUAUGUAAAACGUGUAUUGUAAGGCAUGUAAAGAUAGUCACUGAGUCGGACACGUUGUCUAUGAGCCAUCCGGGACUCUAUGAUCCGCUGGGCGUCGACCUGUCUAUAUAAAGGGACGACCCGACGGCGGUUCAGGACAAGAAACAAGAGAUCGAAAGCUAGGUCAAGCAGAUUUGCUCCCUGAUAAUCGAGACAUAAAAAAUACCACCCAAAACUGGAUUAUAGGCUUUUACCUUCACCACAAGGGGCCGAACUAGUAUAAACCCUGUGUCCUUUGUCCUAUUUAACCCCUUUAAGCUAACCUAGAGGCGAUGGCUCCACGACUAAGUCCUUUCACGAGGACAUUUGUCGUGACUAUUCCACGACAGCUCUCCUCCCGAUGAGCACGUGCAGGUGUCUGAUCGCAUGCCUUCGGUAAUCAAAUAGCUACCCCACAUGGCACCUCCUAGCCAAUAAAAAAAGGAACGCGUGGUGGCACGUAAUUGGUAAGUAGAACGCCCACGGUUUCAAUAAUAGUUGUGUUUCCGAUUUGUAACGUGACAACACUUGUUCCAAAAUGACUUUGUUGAUUUUUAAUGUGUGCGUCUUCGCAAAUCGGACAGAAAAAUUACCACAGCAUGUUGGUGCCAUGUCAUGACACCAUGCCAAGUUUCAUGAUUUUCAGGCAUGUUUUGGACACCAUGCCAAGUUUCAUGAUUUUCAGACGUGAUUUUCAAGCAUGUUUUGGACACCAUGCCAAGUUUCAUGAUUAACCGCAGAAUGUUGGUGUCAUCAUGACACCAUGCCAAGUUUCAUGAUUUUCAGACGUGUUUUGGAUUUACAUCAAUUAAAAAACCAAGUUUCUCAAUCUUUCCGGCCGAGCCAUGACGCCCAGAUGUUUGAAUUUCAUUCUCAUUUCUUGCACGGGACUUAGAAAUUCACCCAAGAACACACAUGUGAUUUUUCAACCAACUUUGGUGCACUGGAGCAUGUGCUUGUAGUUCAAAUUUGAAUUAUGCAUAUUAAAUGCCCGGAAAUUCAACUAAUGUAUAAAAGAGUCCAAAUGAAUCCAGAAUAAUUCCACAAUUUUGCAUGAUACUUCUAUUUGGUCUAAUAUGCCCGUGUAAAAAAAUUAAGGUGGGAGAAGACAGUGUACGUAUGUCGUUUCGCACACGGAGGUGACACGUUCCCUCUCGGAACCACGAGCCUUCUUGAGAGAAGCUCCAGUUUGCAAGAAGCUUAUACCAAAGCUUGUCCCAAUUCGGCCAAAAAAAUAAUCGCAACAUGUUGGUGCCAUGUCAUGACACCAUGCCAAGUUUCAUGAUUUUUAGGUGUGUUUUGGAUUUACAUGAAUUAAAAAACCAAGUUUCUCAAAAUUUCCAGCCGAGCCACGACGCCCAGAUGUUUGAAUUUCAUUCUCAUUUCUCGCAUGGGACCUAUAAAUUCACCCAAGGACACACAUGUGAUUUUUUUCAACCAACUUUGGUGCACUAGAGCAUGUGCAUGUAGCUUAAAUUUGAAUUAUGCACAUUAAAUGACCAAAAAUUCAAUUAAUGUAUAAAAAAGGUCAAACAAACCCGGAAUAAUUCCAAAAUUUAGCACGAUACUUAUAUUUGGUCUAAUCUGCCUGUGUAAAUAAAUUAAGGCGGAGGAAGGCAGUGUACGUAUGUCGUUUCGCACAUGGAGGUGACACGUUCCUCUCGGAACCACAAGCCCUGUUGAGAGAACCUCCGGUUUGCAAGAGGCUUAUACCAAAGCUUGUCCCAAUUCGGCCAAAAAAUUUACCGCAGAAUGUUGGUGUCAUCAUGACACCAUGCCAAGUUUCAUGAUUUUCAGACGUCUUUUAGAUUUACAUCAAUUAAAAAACCAAGUUUCUCAAUCUUUCCGGCCGAGCCAUGACACCCAGAUGUUUGAAUUUCAUUCUCAUUUCUUGCACGGGACCUAGAAAUUCACCCAAGAACACACAUGUGAUUUUUCAACCAACUUUGGUGCAUUGGAGCAUGUGCUUGUAGUUCAAAUUUGAAUUAUGCAUAUUAAAUGACCAUAAAUUCAAUUAAAGUAUAAGAAAGUCCAAACGAACCCGAAAUAAUUCCAAAUUUUAACACGGCACUAAAAUAGUUCUAUGUUGCCUCUGUAAAAAAAUAAGGGGGCGGGAGGCAGCAUAUAUCGUUUCGAACACAAAGGUGACAUGUCCCCCCCCCCUCGGGAACCACGAGUCUUCUCGAGAGAAGCUCCGGUUUGCAAGAAGCUUAUACCAAAAACUUGUCCAAAUGCAGCCAAUUGUUUUACCUCAACAUGUUGGUGCCAUGAAAUGACACCAUGCUAUGUUUCGUGAUUUUCAUGUGAGUUUUGAAUUUCCAGGAAUUUAAAAAUCAAGUUUCUCAAUGUUCCUGACCGAGCCACGACGCCCAGAUAUUUGAAUUUCAUUCCCAUUUCUUGCAUGGGGCCUAUAAAUUCAGCCAAAGACACACAUGUGAUUUUUCAACAAAUUUUGGUGCACUGGAGCAUGUGCUUGUACUUCAAAUUUGAAUUAUGCACAUUAAACGUCAAGAAACUCAAUUAAUCCAUAAAAAUGCCAAACAAAGCCGGAAUAAUUCCAAAUUUAAACAUGACAAUCAUGUAGUUGCAUGUUCACUGUACAUAAAUGUUCUAGCAAUUCAAACACCAUCCCUUCCCUCCAUAACACUGAUAACCCACAAGUGUAGGGGAUCGCAACAGUUUUCGAUAAGUAAGAGUGUCGAACCCAACGAGGAGCUAAAGGUAGAAUAAAUAUUCCCUCAAGUUCUAUCGACCACCGAUACAACUCUACGCACGCUUGACGUUUGCUUUACCUAGAACAAGUAUGAAACUACAAGUACUUUGUAGGUGUGAUAGGAUAGGUUUGCAAGAUGAUAAAGAACACGUAAAUAAAAAGUAGGGGCUGUUUAGAUAAAGAUGCAAUAAAGUAAAUAUAGCGAGUGUGGAAAAGUGGUGGUAGGAGUUGUGGAAUUGUCCCUAACCAAUUGACUAUGUUACUAGACCGGUAAUCACUAUUGCAAUUCUAUUUGAGGGAGAGGCAUAAGCUAACAUACUUUCUCUACUUGGAUCAUAUGCACUUAUGAUUGGAACUCUAGCAAGCAUCCGCAACUACUAAAGAUUCAUUAAGGUAAAACCCAACCAUAGCAUUAAAGCAUCAAGUCCCCUUUUAUCCCAUAUGUAAACAACCUACUUACUCGGGUUUGUGCUUCUGUUCACUCAUGCCACCCACCAUAAGCAAAUCAUAAACAUAUUGCAAACCCUACAGCGGGAAUCCCUCACGCUUGCGCGACACGGAGGGCACCAUAGGACAGCACCAAUAAUAAAACAUGCAACUCAAACCAAUCAUAGCAAUUCAUCAAUCACCGAUAGGACAACGAAAAUCUACUCAGACAUCAUAGGAUGGCAACACAUCAUUGGAAAAUAAUAUGAAGCAUAAAGCACCAUGUUCAAGUAGAGAGUACAGCGGGAUGCGGGAGAGUGGACCGCUGAAUAUAGACGGGGGAAGGUGAUGGAGAUGUUGGUGAAGACGGCGGAGGUGUUGAUGUAGAUCGCGGUGAUGAUGAUGGCCCCCGGCAGCGUUCCGGUGCCACCGGAAGCAAGGGGGAGAGGGCCCCCUUUCUUCUUAUUCUUCCUUGACCUCCUCCCUAGAUGGGAGAAGGGUUUCCCCUCUGGUCCUUGGCUCCCAUGGCGUGGGAGGGGCGAGAGCCCCUCCGAGAUUGGAUCUAUCUCUCUGUUUCUGCGUUCUCUGAUUCUACCCCUUCACCGUUUCCUUUAUAUCUGGAGAUCCGUAACUCCGAUUGGGGUGAAUCUUUUGCUCAGAUUUUUCUCGUAAAAUUAGCUUUCUUGCGGCAAAAGUAGAGCAUCAACCAUCUUACGGGUGGCCCACGAGAGCCCAGGGCGCGCCCAGGGGUAGGGGGCGCGCCCCCUGUCUCGUGGCCACCUCGGACACUGUUUCGCGUUGAUUCUUCCUCCGGAAAAUCCAAAUUUUACAAAAUAAUUCUCCGUCCUUUUUAUCCCGUUUGGACUCCGUUUGAUAUUGGUUUUCUGCGAAACAUAAAACAUGCAACAAACAGGAACUGGCACUGGGCACUGGAUCAAUAUGUUAGUCCCAAAAAUAGUAUAAAAAGUUGCCAAAAAUAUAUGAAAGUUGAAGAAUAUUGGCAUGGAACAAUCAAAAAUUAUAGAUACGACGGAGACGUAUCAGCAUCCCCAAGCUUAAUUCCUACUCGUCCUCGAGUAGGUAAAUGAUAAAAAAAAUUGAUGUGGAAUGCUACCUAGCAUAAUCUUGAUCAUAUGUCUAAUCAUGGCAUGAAUAUUAAGAUACGAGUGAUUCAAUGCAAUAGUCUAUCGUUUGACAUAAAAACAAUAAUACUUCAAGCAUGCCAACCAAACAAUUAUGUCUUAUCGAAAUAACAUAGCCAAAGAAAGCUCAUCCCUACAAAAUCAUAUAGUCUGGCUAUGCUCCAUCUUCGUCACACAAAAUACUACCAUCAUGCACAACCCCGAUGACGAGCCGAGCAAUUGGUUCAUACUUUUUAAAGCGCUUCAGCUUUUUCAACUCUUACGCAAUACAUGAGCGCAAGCCAUGGACAUAGCACUAUGGUGGUAUAUGGUGGUGGUUGUGAGGACAAAAAAAGGGAGAAGAUAGUCUCACAUCAACUAGGCGUAUCAAUGGGCUAUGGAGAUGCCCGUCAAUAGAUAUCAAUGUGAGUGAGUAGGGACUGCCAUGCAACGGAUUCACUAGAGCUAUAAAUAUAUGAAAGCUCAGCAAAAGAAACUAAGUGGGUGUGCAUCCAACUUGCUUGCUCACGAAGACCUAGGGCAUUUUGAGGAAGCCCAUCAUUGGAAUAUACAAGCCAAGUUCUAUAAUGAAAAAUUCCCACUAGUAUAUGAAAGUGAAAGCAUAGGAGACUCUCUCUAUGAAGAACAUGGUGCUACUCUGAAGCACAAGUGUGGUAAAAAGAUAGUAACAUUGCCCCUUCUCUCUUUUUCUCUCAUUUUUUUUCAUUUUUUCUUUCUUUUUGGUGGGCUUCUUUGGCCUCUUUUUUUAUUUGGGCUUCUUUGGCCUCUUUUAUUUUUAAUAAAGUCUAGAGUCUCAUCCCGACUUGUGGGGGAAUCAUAGUCUCCUUCAUCCUUUCCUCACUGGAGCAAUGCUCUAAUAAUGAUGAUCAUCACACUUUUAUUUACUUACAACUCAAUAUUACAACUCGAUACUAGAACAAAGAUAUGACUCUAUAUGAAUGCCUUCGGCGGUGUACCGGGAUGUGCAAUGGUCUAGCAUAGCAACGACAUCAAAAAAACGGACAAGCCAUGAAAACAUCAUGCUAGCUAUCUUACGAUCAUGCAAAGCAAUAUGACAAUGAAUUCUCAAGUCAUGUAUAUGAUGAUGAUGGAAGUUGCAUGGCAAUAUAUCUUGGAAUGGCUAUGGACAUGCCAUAAUAGGUAGGUAUGGUGGCUGUUUUGAGGAAGGUAAAUAAUGAGUUCAUGAUACCGGCGAAAUUUGCUCGGCACAAUAGAGGCUAGCAAAGUGGAAGGGUGAGUGUGUGUAUAUCCAUGGACUCACAUUAGUCAUAAAGAACUCAUAUACUUAUUGCAAAAGUCUACUUAGCCCUCGAAGCAAAGUACUACUACGCAUGCCCCUAGGGGGAUAGAUUGGUAGGAAAAGACCAUCGCUCGUCCCCGACUGCCACUCAUAAGGAAAGCAAUCAAACAGCACAUCAUGCUCCAACUUCAUUACAUAAUGGUUCACCAUACGUGCAUGCUACGGGACUUGCAAACCUCCACACAAGUAUUUCUCAAUUUCACAAUUACUCAACUAGCACGACUCUAAUAUCACCACCUUUAUAUCACAAAACUAUUGCAAGGAAUCAAACAUAUCAUAUUCAGCGAUCUACAAGUUUAUGUAGGAUUUUAUAACUAACCAUGUGAAUGACCAAUUCCCGCCAUCUCUCUAAAAAGAUAUAAGUGAAGCAAGAGAGUUUAAUUCUUUCUACAAAAGAUAUGCCCACGCUCUAACAAAUAUAAAUGAAGCAAAAGAGCAUUCUACAAAUGGCGGUUUUCUAUGUGAAGAGAAACAGGCAAUCCAAACUUCAAACGAUAUACGUGAAGCACAUGAAGCAUCCACUACUAGGGAAAAGCCUAGCAGCAGCGCGGGUUUUAGGCCUAUCAGUAGCGUGGGCAGGAGCGCUACUGAUAAGGCGCUACAGCUAAAGCUUAGCAAUAGCGUGCCUAGACCCACGCUACUGCUAAAUUGACUUAGUAGUAGCGCUUCUCCAGAAGAGCGCUACUGGUAAUUAGUAGUAGCGCUUCUCCUUGCCCGCACUACUACUAUUAUUUAGUAUUUUAUUUCUUUUUUAUUUCAUGUUGUAUUCAUACACCUUUACACAAGUUUUCAUACAACAGGAAUUUAGAGAUUGUUUUUACAUCAUAAUGAGUUAUUACAUCACGGGGUGAAAGAACCAUGGACUAGUUUCAAGUGGAUGUCCAUCCACUUGAAACUAAUCCGCGGUUCUUUCACCCAAUGAUAUAAUAAUAUCAUCAUCAUCAUCAUAUCAUUAACAACUUAUCAUCAUAAUACAUCAUUGUCAUAUAACACCUCCUCAAGAUCAACUUAGCAAAUUGGUCACUAGUCGUAAUCACAAGUACUCCUCAUUAUCAACUCUAACACAUUACCACAUAAUAAACAUAUUGUACCUCAUAGGGCCUACUACAUUCGAUUAAGACCUACUACAUUUUCUAAGGUAAAAUAGCAAAAAAACAAGAUAGCCCCUGACUCUCCAUUAUGGAGAAUGGAGAUUAGCCUGUCUCCAAUUCUUUCCUUUCGCUGAAUGUUACUUCCAAGAACCUCCUUGCGAAUGUCCAUACAUUUCUUCCAUUCUUUGAUGAACAUGUGUUCACCGGUUUUAGAAAUCCGAUAUGCACAGGUGAGCUCCCUAGAUUUACCUGGUAGUAUGUUCAGAACUGUAAGGCGACCAUUCAGAUACAUCAGAUGAGGCACACAAUCCAUCGGGAGUUUCUGUUGAAAAACAUAGUAAUAACUUCAUAGUUAGCAAUGAUGUACUAGUUUUAGAAGUAUGCAAAAGAUGCACGGAUGUCGUAAUAGUAAAAAAUCUUACAAGGGUAUCUCCAGAGAAGUUACCGUGGUUCAACACGUGCACUAGUGGCACGUAUUCACCAUAAUUUGGAGGAGUUCGAUAAUAGUUAUUGUAAUCCUCAAGAAGAGUACAAAAUGCGAUCUGAUGAUUUUUCUCCUUAUAAGUUAAUUCGGAGCCAUCAGUGUAGUGGGUUUUGUCUACCAUCUUCCGCACAGUCUUUGAAGAAUCAAAAUAAGCUGUCAAUGGAAAUAAGUUGUCAACUAUUUUGAAAUAAACAUUAUAAAUUAGUUAAUAACUAUGUUUGAGAAACUCACAUAGCGGUACAAUCGGAAGCAUAUCAACAAGGACCCAAAUGUCCAUAUUGUCUUGCUCGAUGUCAGGAUUACCAAGAUCCAUGGUGACAAUCAUACCCUCAUAAAAACCAUACAUUUUGCAAAGUGCUUCCCAAUUUUGGCAACCAAAAUGGGUUACACUCUGAGCAUUGCACAAAUUUACUUCAAAAUCCAUAUCAUGAUGGGUCCUUAGGUGUAUUUUCUUUGUUUCAAAAUUUUCAUGGUCUUCAAAACCCAUCCUCUCCAAGACAUAGCGUCUUGCAUGGCAUGGGAUAAGCUAGUCAAAUUGUAAAAGAUGAAAAUUAGACGUUGAAAUAGUUGAAGUCAUGCUUAAUUACGAAAAAAAACACUUGUCAUUGUUCCGUACCGUUUCAACAUCGAAGGUCUCCUCGAGCUUAAUGCUGAAGCGCCGAUCUUCAUCCAGCUCAACGAACCUAUCGCACAUACCUCGAUCGUCGUGGCACCAGCUGCACUCCCCCGGGAGACUGUCGUCGUCCGAGUACGACAUUUCCUACGUUCAUAAUUCAAAGAUUAAACUUGUACAUAUUCUAGCACAAGUCGUGCCAGAAUUCACGGAAAAAUCCGGCAUGACCUUUGCGAAAAAAGGACAUAUCGAGCGCCUGAAAUUUGCCGGAACGGAAAUUAAUCAACACUCCGGCAAAACAUAGGCCACUCGGAGGUGUAACCAAAACAUGAAAUAAUUGAUGAAACUAAAAAAUAACAACAAAUAUGACAUGUUCAACUAGUUCUAUUAAUUCAACUAGUUCUUACUAAUUAUAAACUUACUAUAAAUAGAAAGAAACUAGUUCUUUCUAAAAAUAAAGUAGUUCAACUAGUUAUUAAUUUACUUACUAAACUAGUUCAACUAAAACUAAACUAGUUCAACUAAAACUAAACUAGUUCUAUUAAUUCAAUUCGUUCUUACUAAAUAUAAACUUACUAUAAAUAGAAAGAAACUAGUACAUCUACUACUACUAAUUAACAUCUACUACUACAUCUACUACUAAUUAACAUCUACUACUGCUAAUUAUACAACUAGUUUACCAUCACUACUACUAAUUAAUAUCCACUACUACUAAAAAUCAUUAUCUAUGAACCCUAAAUUAACAUCUACUAGUACUAAAAUCAUCUACUAACUAAGCAAAGAGGGAGGGGUAGGGGAGGGGUGGGGGGCUUACAGAGGGAGAGACGGUGGCGGGGAGGUGCUCAGCGACGAAGGUAGGGGCGGCGAGGGUGGGCUCGGGAUCGGGAGGCGGCGGUCCUGGAGUAGGUCGAGAGCGGCGGCGGGCGGCGGCGGUGAGGGUGUGGUCGAGAGCGGCGACAGGCGAGGAGGCGGCGAGGGUGUGGUCGAGAGCGGCGGCGGGCCGCAACGGUCAGGUUGAGUGCGGGCUCGGGCGGCGGCGGUGAGGGCAGGCUCGGGCUCGGGCGGCGGCGACAGGAGUAGGGGAACAGGCCGGGGGGUGAAAGGAGGACUUAGCAAAAAUUUUGAGCUGGGGGUGGUUAAGUCGAACUAGCAGUAGCGCUCAUAAGGAAAAUGCGCUAUAGCUAACUUAUCUAUAGCGUGUUCUAGUGAAAAAUGCUACUGCUAAUGGAAGCAGUUAUUUCUUUUAUUUAUCCCAAUAUCAGUAACGCUUUGUCCUGAAAAAAUGCUCUAAGUCUAAGCAAUGUAAAAACAUCAAAAAUAUACAUUGGUCAUCAUUGAUCUUUUUGUUUAGAAUCUAAAUAGUCAACAUGAAUCCUCACUGUACCUGUAUAGGUACAGGCGAGGAUUCAUAUUGCAGCCACAAAUCAUACACAUAUAGUUCAAUGAAGACCAAGUGCUCGAGAUAGGUUGAGAAGUAACAUAUUUAAGGUGGUAAACACCUUGUUCUCCUAGCAGUAUGGGACUAAACUUAAUUAGUUGCGGUGAUACUUAGCAGUAGCGAGUUUUGAUGAAAAACGCUGCUACUAAGUACUUUAGCAGUAGCGCGUCCCUUGGAAGGGCGCUACUACUAUAUCUAGCCUGGAGGCAACACCGUGGCAAUUAUAGUAGUAGCGCUCGUUUCACCUAGAGCGCUACUGCUAAUUAUAUAUUAGUAGCGCUCUUUACUGAAGCUUGCUACUGCUAAUUAGCAGUAGCGUCUGUUUUUAAACCACACUGCUGCUAAGAUUCUGUGUAUAAGGUUUUCCCUAGUAGUGAUUCUAUAAAGCCAUACUCAAAAGAUUUAAAUGAAGUGCAAUGAGAAUUCUAUAAAUCAACCAGGGACUAUCUCAUACCAGCAUGGUGCAUAAAACAAAAGUGAAAACUAAAUGCAAAAGACGCUCCAAAACUUGCACAUAAUGCAUGAACGAAAUGAAUCCGAAAACAUACCGAUACUUGUUGAAGAAAGAGGGGAUGCCUUCCGGGGCAUCCCCGAGCUUAGACGCUUGAGUCUCCUUGAAUAUUUACUUGGGGUGCCUUGGGCAUCCCCAAGCUUGAUCUCUUGCCUCUCUUCCUUUUCCUCAUAUCGAAACCUCCUCGAUUAGACACUUCAUCCACACAAAACUUCAACGAAAAACUCGGUAAGAUCCGUUAGUAUAAUAAAGCAAAUCACUACUCUAAGUACUGUUGCAAACCAAUUCAUAUUUUUUUUUUGCAUUGUGUCUACUGUAAUAUAACUUUUCCAUGGCUUAAUCCACUAAUAUAAAUUGAUAGUUUCAUCAAAACAAGCAAACUAUGCAUCAAAACAGAAUCUGUCAAAAAUAGAACAUUCUGUAGCAAUCUGAACAUUCACCAUACUUCUGUUACCCCAAAAAUUCUACCAAAAUUAGGAAAACUAAACAAGUUGUACAGCAAGACAGUGCAAAAGGAGUCAGAACCGUUUGACUUUCCAGUUAGAAAUGUAAAAUCGCACACUACAGCCAAAGAUUCUGUCCUGCACCAUACAAACCAACAAGCAUUGUAAACAUCCUAAAGGCAAACCUUGGCACAUUACUUUUAUAAUACAAUGGAAUUGUACAAGGGGAUAAUUAUUUUUGAUGGAAAGUUUCUGUAAUCAAGAUUCACAAAGUUUCCGUGAGCAUGAACAAAGUUCAAGGAGCUCUCCCACAUCAACAAUGCUUAUCUCUCUCACUUUCACUUUCCUUUUUGAAAAUUUUUUAGGUUCCCCUCUUUAUUAUUUUUUUGUUUUUAAACUAUAUGAAAGCACUCAACAGAAAUAAAUGACUCUCUAAAACUUCCGGGUUGUCUCCCUGGCAGCGCUUUCUUUAAAGCCAUUAAGGUAGGCAUAUAGUGCUCAAGUAAUGAAUCCACCCGGAUCCCAAGGUAUAUCAAAGCCAAUUUUAAUUAACAAUGAUUUGUAAUUUAGUAGUGAGCACAAAGUAUUAUAUAUCAAGCAACAACGAAGUCUAACUCUCUUCCUAUGCAUCGGCAUGUCAUAAAAGAACAAUUCAUGCACACAUAAUAAAGGCCAACGCAUAGUAUAAGUAGUUUCUUGCAAUUUCAUAGUAUGGGAAACAUAGAGAGGUGGAUAAAUAGUUCCUCUCUCAUAAUAAUUGCAAGUAGGAGCAGCAAGCACAUGCAUAUUACAUUCAUCAAAAUCAUCAUGUGCAAUGGUAAAAGGCAACCCAUCAAUAUAAUCCUUAAUAAGCAUAAACUUCUCCGAUAUAGUGUAGUAGGGAGAAUUCAGAAAGAUAAUAGGACUAUCAUGCGUGGGUGCAAUAGCAACAAUUUCAUGUUUAACAUAAGGAACUAUAGCAAGUUCAUCUCCAUAAGCAUAAUUCAUAUUGGCAUCUCGGCCACAAGCAUAGCAAGCAUCAUCAAAAAGGGAUAUUUCAAACAAAUUCAAGGGAUCAUAGCAAUCAUCAUAGAAUCAUCCUUCAGUAAGCACGAAGGGGAAUUAAAUAAUGUAUGAGUUGGAGGGUUACUCUCAUUAGAAGCUGGGCACGGGUAGCUAAUCCGCUCUUCCUCCUUUUGUUCUUCGCUCUCCUCAUCAUCUUUUUCCAAUGAGCUCACAGUUUCAUGAAUUUCUUCUUCCAUAGCUUCCUGCAAAAUAUUAGUCUCUUCUUGGACAGCAGGGUAGGCCUCAAUAUAUAGUUUAACAUAGGCAUUAGAAGCAUAAUUAUCAUAGCAAUAUUCAAGUAUGGCAAAAUUUUCAGAUUUGUAGAGAGUAGCAUCAUAUUUUUCAAUCAAAGAAGCAAUUUCAUAUGCACCCUUAAAAGCAACAAAUUCUUCAAUUUGUUGAACAUCAUAGUAAUUAUAAACACCCUUAGCAUAUGAAUAUACGAUUCCAUUAUCACUAAACAAGAAUUGUUAGGGAAGGUGUUUCUUAGGGUUUUCAGAACAACAAGUAACAUCAUAUAAUUCACAUAAAGUCCAAGCAUAGCAUUGCAAACAUUAAAUUUGAUCCCAUAAUAGUUUCCCUUUUUCAUAUAUACGGUGUCGCACAUAACAAGCAUGCUCAUCUAAAGAUUUGCCCUCAACUAAGCUAGUUGGGGUUUCAGCACGAGCACAAAGGGAUCGAAGAUGAUCCAAGUAAAAAGCUUCAGUAGUGUGAUAGAUUUUGAGUGGUUCUUCAACCAUUGGUGCAGUAGGUACAACUAAUUUUUUUGGUAUUUUGCGUUUCCUACCCAUAACUAAAGAUAGAAAACAACUAAGAACAGCAAAUAAAAAUUACUUAGUGAUAAAGCAAACAAGCACAAACGAGAAUAUUCACCCCACGCUAUGACUCCCCGGCAACGGCGCCAGAAAAAGGUCUUGAUAACCCACAAGUAUAGGGGAUCGCAACAGUUUUCGAUAAGUAAGAGUGUCGAACCCAACGAGGAGCUAAAGGUAGAAUAAAUAUUCCCUCAAGUUCUAUCGGCCACCGAUACAACUCUACGCACACUUGACGUUCGCUUUAACUAGAACAAGUAUGAAACUAGAAGUACUUUGUAGGUGUGAUAGGAUAGGUUUGCAAGAUGAUAAAUAACACGUAAAUAAAAAGUAGGGGCUGUUUAGAUAAAGAUGCAAUAAAGUAAAUAUAGCGAGUGUGGAAAAGUGGUGGUAGGAGUUGUGGAAUUGUCCCUAACCAAUUGACUAUGUUACUAGACCGGUAAUCACUAUUGCAAUUCUAUUUGAGGGAGAGGCAUAAGCUAACAUACUUUCUCUACUUGGAUCAUAUGCAAUUAUGAUUGGAACUCUAGAAAGCAUCCGCAACUACUAAAGAUUCAUUAAGGUAAAACCCAACCAUAGCAUUAAAGCAUCAAGUCCCCUUUUAUCCCAUACAUAAACAACCUACUUACUCUGGUAUGUGCUUCUGUUCACUCACUCCACCCACCAUAAGCAAAUCAUAAACAUAUUGCAAACCCUACAGCGGGAAUCCCUCACGCUUGCGCGACAUGGAGGGCACCAUAGGAGAGAACCAAUAAUAAAACAUGCAACUCAAACCAAUCAUAGCAAUUCAUCAAUCACCGAUAGGACAACGAAAAUUUACUCAGACACCAUAGGAUGGCAACACAUCAUUGGAAAAUAAUAUGAAGCAUAAAGCACCAUGUUCAAGUAGAGAGUACAGCGGGAUGCGGGAGAGAGGACCGCUGAAUAUAGACGAGGGAAGGUGAUGGACAUGUUGGUGAAGACGGCGGAGGUGUUGGUGUAGAUCGCGGUGAUGAUGAUGGCCCCCGACAGCGUUCCGGCGCCACCGGAAGCAAGGGGGAGAGGGCCCCCCUUCUUCUUAUUCUUCCUUGACCUCCUCCCUAGAUGGGAGAAGGGUUUCCCCUCUGGUCCUUGGCUCCCAUGGCUUGGUAGGGGCGAGAGCCCCUCCGAGAUUGGAUCUAUCUCUCUGUUUCUGCGUUCUUUGAUUCUACCCCUUCACCGUUUCCUUUAUAUCUGGAGAUCCGUAACUCCGAUUGGGGUGAAUCUUUUGCCCAGAUUUUUCUCGUAAAAUUAGCUUUCUUGCGGGUGGCCCAGGAGAGCCCAGGGCGCGCCCAGGGGUAGGGGGCGCGCCCCCCUGUCUCAUGGCCACCUCGGACACUGUUUCGCGUUGAUUCUUCCUCCGGAAAAUCCCAAAUAUUCCAAAAUAAUUCUCCGUCCGUUUUUAUCCCGUUUGGACUCCGUUUGAUAUUGGUUUUCUGCGAAACAUAAAACAUGCAACAAACAGGAACUGGCACUGGGCACUGGAUCAAUAUGUUAGUCCCAAAAAUAGUAUAAAAAGUUGCCAAAAAUAUAUGAAAGUUGAAGAAUAUUGGCAUGGAACAAUCAAAAAUUAUAGAUACGACGGAGACGUAUCAAACACCAUUUUGUCUUUCAAAACAUAAAGAAAAAAGGUAUACCACAAACAGUUUACUAGAAAGAAUCGUGUGGGAUGCAAUAUAAAACAUCUUGGCGCACCGUCUUGUCUGGCUUACGCAGGAAGCUUCGUGGUCUACAGUCCAUCGCUCCCACUUGAACCACACUUGCGCGCAAGUUUCUCGCGGCACCGAGCGAAAAAAAUUUGCCACCGUGGAAAUAUCUAUCUCCCCACCCCCUCCGUCCCACCAAAAGCCACAUUUCCAUUGUUCCACCUUGCUUUCCAAGUUCAAACCUUCACUUCUGCUUACUGGCAGCUCAGCCUCCUCGGCGGCGACCCUUCUUCUUGUAGCGCCACCUCCUUGCCAGCUACCCUUCUUCUUGCAGCUCCGCCUCCUCGUCGGUGACCCUUCUUCUUGCUGCGCGUCCUCCUCACCGCUGACCCUUCUUCUUGCUAUGUAGCCUCGUCGAUAUGGUCAGGUAAUCCACAUCCCACCCACACCAUCCUCCUUCUUUCCCGUCCCACAUGCCCCGACCGACGGCGCGAAACCUUCCGCCGAAAUCACUGUCCCCCUACUCCAACUAAGCACCGCCCACAGCCAUUUUGCAUGCAGUAUAACAUGGAGCUCAGUAGCAUAUGGUAGCGGAGAAGCAAAUUACGGCCGCAGACGCGCACGAGGUUUCUAUGGCUGCCAUGCGUGCCGACCGCCAAAACUUGGAGGAGCACCUUGUCUUCGAGGCCAUCAUCGACACCGCCACGCGGUUGUCCACUUUAAAAUACAGUUUGUGCUGUUUUCUUGAGGCCACCGCCAAUGUCUUCUAGUGAUUUGCCCUCUGUAAUGCUAAUAUGCAAUCUGAUGUUCAGUUUAUAGUUUGGUCCUCUGAAAUGUAAUGUUCAGUUAACAGUUUGGUCCAACAAUUGCUGCAUUUCGUAGAAGUUUUCUCAAGCAUUUUUGUUUUGUUAACUGUCUUAUCUUCUAGUACAUGUUUCUAUUCUGCAAUGUCGGGCUUAGUUAACUAUUUUGAUUCAUUUGGUAUGUUGUCCAUUUAACUGUUUGGUACAGUUCUGCAAUUUGAUUUCCAUUUGCUGUGGGUACAAUUUUGUAUUGUUACGCAUGUGAAAUAAAUUGAAUUUGGCUUUACUCAAUAGAUAUUCUAUUGAUAUUAUGACAACUCUUAGUUAACCUGGUCAAGAUCUUCCUUAUGUGUGUUGCUAGGAAACAAUGGGACACACCGCGGUUUACCAUCGAGGUUUGUUCAAGCAUGGUCCUUUGGCUAAUAGCACAUUAUUGUGGAUUUGCAGGAAUCAUUCUAAUAUUUAGGUUUCUUACAAUUUGGUCUUGCACAUGUAGGUCCUGCUAUCAGAGGCUUGGACCCACUAUUCGACCCAUUUUGCAUAUGAGGAAAUGAGAUGUCUGUGAAUAUAAGUCAAGUUAAGAAACUCAGAAAGAUUGUUAGGAUGAAGAAACUUGCGAAGAAUAACAGCAAGAUCUUUGUUUGCACAAUGAAGAAGACAUCAGUCAAUUAUAGGAUGGUACUAACUCUUUUACCUUGUUUUUACCCCUUGCACCAUCAGUCGACUAUAGGAUGGUACUAACUCUUUUACCUUGUUUGCAUAUCUUUGUUUUCAGAACUUUUCAAAAUAGUUCACCAAUGAUUACCUCUCAAACCACCUGCAUGGUCAAGAGGCGAGGAAGGUAUUCAUUCAACACCCACGAUACAACAUUGAAGUCUUGCUGAAGAGGACGAAGGUUGGACGGGCAAUUAUCCAUAGCCACUGGCCUAAAGUUGCAAGGACAUUCAACAUGACUGAAGUCUCAACUUUGCCUUCCGCUUUUGCACUUUCCCAGAUGAGAUUCAUCUAUCUAUUUACCGUGUAUGAUGCUAUUCCAAAGGUUUUUGAUGUUGCAUGUGUAACUUGGUGCUGUUGUGUAAUGGCAGAACUGAGUGCUGAAGCUAUUUGAUGUAAUUCGAUUAUGAAAUCCUGGUUGCUGUAAUACGGAUAUGAAAUAUCUAGUGUGUUUUAUAAGAAAUAUCAAUUUGAUUAGUACAUGGAUUAUCAGUAAUAGGCUAAUUACCCUGCUUAUUGGGGUUUUCUGUUGCAGACGGUUACUCAGACAACACCAUGGGCGAUGAACUCAAACAACACGCACAGUUUCUAGAAAGUAGGUGUGUUCGGUCAACUAACAAUCACACAUGGCUUCCGGUAGAGAAUUGUUUGCGUUAGGCCACCUUGCACAAAUGUUUCCACACAAAAAACUGUGUGAUAUACAUACGAGCGGAAAUGUUUUUUCUGGGAUUCAUCAUGUGGGAUGUACAUACGAACGGAAACAAUUGGGUUUCGAUGCCCCACCAGAUCGCACACGAACUCAUUUUUCCCCAGCCAGUGUGCCAGGAGGGCCUAUCCCCGACGGUUUCUGGGUCGUAUGGGAAGGACCCCCCCCCCCCAUCGCCCACACNNNNNNNNNNNNNNNNNNNNNNNNNNNNNNNNNNNNNNNNNNNNNNNNNNNNNNNNNNNNNNNNNNNNNNNNNNNNNNNNNNNNNNNNNNNNNNNNNNNNNNNNNNNNNNNNNNNNNNNNNNNNNNNNNNNNNNNNNNNNNNNNNNNNNNNNNNNNNNNNNNNNNNNNNNNNNNNNNNNNNNNNNNNNNNNNNNNNNNNNNNNNNNNNNNNNNNNNNNNNNNNNNNNNNNNNNNNNNNNNNNNNNNNNNNNNNNNNNNNNNNNNNNNNNNNNNNNNNNNNNNNNNNNNNNNNNNNNNNNNNNNNNNNNNNNNNNNNNNNNNNNNNNNNNNNNNNNNNNNNNNNNNNNNNNNNNNNNNNNNNNNNNNNNNNNNNNNNNNNNNNNNNNNNNNNNNNNNNNNNNNNNNNNNNNNNNNNNNNNNNNNNNNNNNNNNNNNNNNNNNNNNNNNNNNUAAAUCCUAAAAGAUUCCCAAACCAUCAGAGGAAUCCACAAAAGUACUUUUUCGCAGCUGCAAGCCUCUGUUCCCGUGAGAUCCCGUCUUGGGGCCUUUUUCGGUGAUCUUUCGGAGGGGGAAUCGAUCACGGAGGGCAUCUACAUCAACUUUGUUGCCCUUCCGAGGAAGCAUGAGUAGUUUACCACAGACCUACGGGUCCAUAGAUAGUAGCUAGAUGGCUUCUUCUCUCUCUUUGAUCGUCAAUACAAUGUUCUCCUUGAUGUUCUUGGAGAUCUAUCCGAUGUAAUCUUAUUUUGCGGUGUAUUUGUCGAGAUCCAAUGAAUUGUGGUUUUAUGAUCACCUUUUCUAUGAAUAUUAUUUGAAUCUUCCCUGAAUUCUUAUAUGCAUGAUUUGAUAUCUUCGUAUUUCUCUUCGAGGUCUGCAUUGUCUUAGUUCGAACAGUAUCACAAAGCCAUUUGCAGAUAUGUGAAAGUAUUUUUCUCUCAAAGAAAGGGAGGGCCCUUAAGAACUGCAGAUAGGGUGUGUCAGGUACAUCCUUGCUGGCAUGGGUAUAAAGAUAGCUUGUUCUAUGGUUAAGUUUAUAGACAUGAUCAUCUGAGCUAGUUCUAGCAAUGAUACGAAAAUAUAGCAGAAUAUGAACACACGCUUGUGGUUUGUGGUGAACUAAAACUACUAGUAGAAUGCCCGUGCGUUGCUACGGGCUUUUGAAAUAUUUUCCUUGAGUUAUGUGAACAUCAUUGAACAUACUCAUCAGAAUACCAGUUGGAAAUAAAUGUUGCCAUAAACAUUUAUCAUAAUUCCAGCCAGUUUGCUUUAUUUUGAGUGUGUUGUUGUUGUGGGAUAUCAUCACUUGCACAUUUUUUGUUGUAUAAAACAUGGUGAAUUUUUGUCCCCUUCCAAUGAUGUCGCCCCAAAAACCCUCUGAAUGGGUUUCUUUUUGAACCCGACAUAAUCCAUCUCCAUCUCUCUCAUAUUCUACAAAAUUAAAUACAUAUAUAGAAGUAUACCUUUUGAGUAUUAUAUCAUGUGCAACAUACUACAAAGAAGAACAAUUAUUUGCAUGCACCUCUUUUGGUUGUGUAAAACUCGUUGAAUUCUUAGCCCCCUCCAUCAUCGUUACAUCAGGGUCUUUGUCAGUCGACAUCUCCGAAGCACAAUCAAAUCCAUCAGUUUUUAUGACCUACAAAGGUAUUCUAAUAUAAACAAAGAUUAGAAUACCUUUUUUAUGAUGGUGGUAUGGAAAAUAUAUAUUCAUUGGACAAAUUCUAGAAAUGAGCAGUUUCUAGUAGAUUGAGUGGCAUCCCAAUUUUAAUAAUUUUAGGCUCACCUCUAAAUCACAUGUUGAUGGUUAUUCUUACGAAUAUCUAUUAUUUAGGGUAUGUGGUAUAUCGCCCUUAAAAUACUAUGUUACAUUUCUCCACGAGCAAAGAACGGAUUUCCCCUUUAUAUAAUGAUAGUCGGUCAUCCGUAAUUUCUUGGAUAUUUUUAAGUAAUUUAUUGAGAAAAUAUUUUAUGCCAUUCUGAAUAUAUAUAUAGUGUACACGUAUAAAUAAAGCUUUAUUUUUAUGAUAUUCCCAUUAUACCCCUCCUAUACAACUUGUUGUCCUCUCCUGCACGGCCGCACUCUAUCCACUCCCUCUCCGCACCACUCACUCUCUUGUUCCCCUCCCUCUCUAGAUCCAUAGACUUCACCGCCGUCGCUCACUCUCCUCUCUCCGCCCUCGCCACCACAACCAACAGAAUCGGUGACCUCAUCUCCCACCCCUCCACCCUUUCAUCCCUCCCCUCUUCUCACCAAAAUUAGUGAAGGGGGGAUCAAGAUACCAGAUGGUUUCCUGAUCCGCCCACAAACCGGCGAACAACAUCACGCCAAGGUCACCAACGCCGUCAUGAAAUGACAGGCUUCUUCCACCUCGACAGACUUGCUCGCGCACCAAGAUAUGAGAGGGGGCCUUCUACUUCCCGCUCGCUCAUCCCCUUUGGUCAAGCCAUGGAUCAACCUUCCUCUACUCUGACCCAUGCCAUGGACCGAGCGCACUUCCCUCCUCAAGGUCAUCUCUUCACCCCUUUCCUCGUGUGGCAUGUUGCACCGCUAACCCUCACCUUAUCUCCCUCCCUUUCCUCCCAUAUCGAGACAUGCAUGUGUUUCUGCUCGGCCGCUUCACCUCACCGCCGCCUUUGUGGCACGUCGGCCGGGAUUCUUCCUCAUGUCCGCUAGAUCCCAGCGUCGUCAAUUUCAUUCGACUAGGUCAAAGAAGAUGAAAGUUGCUGCAUUCCGUCAUCCACGCACCCCACUGCAAGACACCAAACACAACCGCAACAGCCGGCACGAACGCCACCCGAGAGAGAGUGAAGCGCCGACCAUCAGACACAAACCUUACCGGAUCUGAAGACCGGCAAGAAGACCGAGCCACCUGCUCCCCAGCACCGCCCAUUAGAGCGCCAUCGAGAUGGAGGUAGAGCAGAAGCAAAUUAUUUUGACGCGGCGCCGUUCACACCAUUGAUGCAGCACCUCUGGAAAAAAAAAACUAUGCCUAUCCUAUAUCCCUACCUGACAGAAACAGUUGUGACCUAUUUGUCUUGUUAAAAUAGUGGAUCAACAGCACACGAUGGUAUGUAGCAUGACUCUGCACAGAUAGCUUUCUUAUAAAUUUGUGGCAUGGAGGUUUCGUGGUGUAGUUGGUUAUCACGUCAGUCUAAUUUGUGGCAUGGAGGUUUCGUCAUGUAGUUGGUUAUCAUCCCUUCUCGAUGUAAUAGAGAAUGUAAUAGGCCUUUUGGUUCUCUUGAGUUAUUUUAACUUCUAUAUUGGAAAGAACUGAAUAUUAUGUACCUUCGCCAGAAGGGCUAAUGUAGUCCCUGCUAAAGUGAUCCUCCUCCUGCUAGUGAUCAGAGGCCGGUCUUUUGCUGUUGGUCUUCUCAUGCUGCGGUUUUCCUCUUCCUUAUGGUUUCAUUUGCCGCAGUAUUUUCUUUUCUUCUGAUUGCCGAGUUAUGUAGUAUUAGAUUGUCGAGUUUUGUGGUUUACAGCACAGGAUUUUGUUUUUACAAAAGGUGGAUCCCAACAAGACACGAUGGUAUGCACAUCUUAUAGUCUAUCUGUCUUAUUGAGAAAAUACAUUAAUGUCUCGUGGUGUAGUAGGUUAUCACGCCAGUCUAACACACUACAUGAAGAAGCCAAAUUGUUAUUGUUUUUUCUUUUCUGCAAAAUUACAAAAUGCACCAAUAAAUCUUUGUCAUUUGCUAGUUUCCCAUUUCAGUGCCUAUGUUUGUAAGUAUUCUUCCCUCUUGGAAUCUCCGUUUUGCCACUGUUUCUCACUUUCUGUGAUGUGAUGUGUGCGCAAAUAUUCCCACAACAACUAAACAAUAAUAAAGCCAUAUACGCAAGCGACCGAAUAAUGGCAACUUCAUAUUGCCACUCAAGGCGCAUCUCCAAACCGACCUGUCAUGUCCAUAGUUGCGUCUCAACACUCGGGGCAGAAAGGCUCGCUCUCAACCACUGCUUCAUAUCACCGGAUCCACACGGCCAAAUAGUGUCCUCCAUUUUCGAAGUGAUGACAGUAUAUCUCGUGGGAAAAUUGUUUCCACAAUUCGAUAUCCCUCCCGUUGAUGAAAAAAUCACGUUCGGCUUCGGCAUCACAGAAUGCACUUAACGAAAAUUGUUUUCUUCGUUCUGAGCUGGAAUAAUGUAUUCCCUCCCAUAAAAUAAAAUCAUCAAUAGUUCACUUCUCUAUAUACCUGGAUGGAAAGUAAUGGCCAAUGUGGAUCACCCAAGAUGGCACGCCAAGUGUUGUUUAACUCCACUAUGUAGACAAGUCAUUAUAUGCACACAAUUAUGUAAGAAAAAUAAAUAGGUCAAGAACUGUUUGGCCAUAGAUGGAGCUUUCUACAGAUGGGUACAAGAAUUUGGCACCACCCACUCAGUUUACCUCUCACCUUUUUGAUUGCUUUCAUAUGUAAAAAAUAGUGAGUGGAUUUGCGAUCUGCCUUAAAAUGACAAGACGGGGGUUGGGGGUUUUAAAAAAUUCCAAAUGCAUUCUUUAUAUUCACAUGUUUAUUUAUUUUGUAUUUGUUUGUGCAUGUCAUAAAAUCAUAAAUUUGCACAAGCAUGCAUAAUACUCAAUGAUCUACAAUGACAAUAGGCUUUAAGAUUUUUCAAAGCAUGAGAAAAAAAUCAAAUGACGUCAGCUGGAAAUUAAAGAUAUGUUCAGACUUCCAAACAAUUAUGAUCUCUUUGGUCCAAACUUCAAAGGAACCAUUAUUGAAAAUUUGGUGAUUCUAGUUGUUAGAAUAUUUUCCUACGGGACUAGUAGGGCUGGGAACCAUAAUGUUAUUCUAUGGCCAUGUAUUCGUAGGAAAAUUUAUGUCGAGCCAAAUCUUCUGGAAAUAAUUCCGUUAGUUCAAUGACAACUAUGUGCUUGCACCUAAUGUUUUGGAAAGUUCUUGUGUUUUGUUUUCCUUCUGCAGUAAAUCAACAUCCAUAUUUUAUACAUUACUCUAUCUUUAAUUCCCACGGGAUCCAACACAGCAUGGCAUGAAAUAUGUAUGUUAAUUUUUCCAGUUCCCUCUUUUAAAAAUGCCGCAAACAGAUGUGCCAUGUAAUCUUCAAAAAAAAAGUGGGAGUGAGAUAGUUAUUGAAAUGCAUGUAGGCUGGAGACUAAAAUUUCAGUAAAAUUCAGCUUAUAACACUAAAACUGAAAAGGUUGUCAAACCUAUGGCAACCAAGAGCCAGCAAGAUUUUUUAAAGAAAAAAUAUUUUCGGCGACCUCCACCUAAGAAGUCCUAGCUUUUUUCCUUGUCCUGACAUUCAAAAAACACUGAGUGAUGGUUAUCAGCCGAAUAUAUUCACUAAGGGCAUGCACGAAAGAGAGCUAUUUAUUUAUUGCUAAGGUUUCAGAAUUUAGUUUGAUUUUGAUUUAAUUUGAAAUUCAUAAUUUACCGAGAAAUACAACUAUAAAUUCAAGCAUCCCUAAACUAAAUAAAAACGUAUCUAUAUUUGGAAAAAUUUGAUGUUUUUUUAUAAACUUGUUAAAACAUGGAAACAUUUGACAUUUGAAAAAAAAAAUCAGUACAGCUAAUAUUUUGAAAAAGGAAGUUAGUACGUACACCAAUAAUUCGAUAUACCCACAAAAUAUUGGCCGUAGUUCCUUUAGUGGUUCCUUUGAUGUAAGAAACAAGCUAGUAGAGACAAAGGGAAUCAAAUCAUGGGAGGAGGUGGCCCUAUCCUUAUUCCUCUUCCCCACGCGGUUGCUCUCGUCCAUCCUUUACCAAAAGUGCAGCAUCUCUCAUCUCCGUCUUCAUCUUCUCUUCCUCCUCCUUCCUUGAUGCUCACUCGCCUAUAAAUAGCCCUCGCUGCCUGCCAUUGUUACUCAAGCCAGCAAGCAAGAAGCACACAGGAAGCUCCUAGCCAACACCAAUCAAAGCCUCCAUCCAAUCCCAAGCAACCUCGAGGAUGUCUUGCUGCGGAGGAAACUGCGGCUGCGGCAGCGCCUGCAAGUGCGGCAACGGCUGCGGCGGCUGCAACAUGUACCCGGAGGUUGAGGCCGCCGGCGCCACCCUCCUCGUCUCCGCCACCGCCACCCACAAGGCGUACGUCCCUUCUGUUUCCUCAUACAUCAUGCGCCCGCUAUAAU
Molecule: long non-coding RNA, 55336 nt
Filed under: Triticum aestivum (bread wheat)
Lineage: Eukaryota; Viridiplantae; Streptophyta; Magnoliopsida; Poales; Poaceae
Description: long non-coding RNA (TAES_LNC028289)
Rfam family: tRNA (bases 24250-24323)
Source: RNAcentral